AUUUUCUUCAAAACUUAUUAUGGAUCUUUUCAGAAAGUAUAAACAUUUUUUUAAGUAAUUAAGAUUGACCGUAAUAAAACAAGGAGGAGGAAAAGAAGGAAAAAAAAAAGUUGAUUAUACUAAAGUUGGUUGGUGUGAGUAGUUUCUUAGUCUCACUCUUUAAGAGAGGUCAGGGAUUCAAACCCCGCUCUCGUAUGAAGUCACCACUUUGACCAGCACUUCACCUCUUACGAGCCGACUCGGUGCGAACGGGGAUUAAUUUAGGUUGUGGUACGGACUUAAAGGUGUCUCCCACAGUUGAGGCCCACUCAAAACCACCUCGUGGUUAAAAAAAAAAAAAAAGUUGACUAGCUUACUGUUUGGUAUUUGCAAAAGAUGGCCGCGAAAAGAUCCAAUUAAUUACGAAGAGCAAAGACUGUGACCAACUUACAUCAAUGCUAAUGAAGCUCUGCCCAGAUUUUAACCCUCACAAAUAUUCGAGGGAUGUCUACUCCUCAUUUAUGGGUAAGAGAGAAGACUAUCUUCACUCAAAUUAAUUGAGAAAAUAAAUACCCCCACAAUACUUUUGUGGGGGUUCGAACUACUGCCCUCCAAGUUGGAGGGCAGCAGCCUUGGCCACUCGGGCUUAGCCGAGUGGUUUAAAAACGCGUUUAAAUUUAAUCUUGAAUUGUUAAUGUAUUAUCGAGAGGAGGUCACGUGUCACGUUAAGAUUCAAUAUUUUAUAUACAUAACGCACCCUGAUGCUGACAAGAAUGAAUCCACCGGCAUCGGGGGCUAAUACUUGAAGUUUCUACUUUGAAAUGUUGAAACUCGAUGAGGGAAAGUAAGACUAAGAGGUGGGUGCUAGCUGUGGUCGUUUUUUAAUCAUAGUGCAAAAAAGUGAAAUUAUCAAUAUUCUUUGUAGUUAGGUUAGAUGCAUUAUUUUCAACUUGCCGCAGAAUCUGAAAUUAAUCGCCCAAAAUCUCCAAGCGUUUGACAACACUGAUUAAUCUAAUUUUCAAUUUGAAUAACUAAUUUUAAGUCGUUGUAAGUUACAAAUAAUAAAAACUUGAGUCCUUGUAACAACAUUUUCUUCAAAACUUAUUAUGGAUCUUUUCAGAAAGUAUAAACAUUUUUUUAAGUAAUUAAGAUUGACCGUAAUAAAACAAGGAGGAGGAAAAGAAGGAAAAAAAAAAGUUGAUUAUACUAAAGUUGGUUGGUGUGAGUAGUUUCUUAGUCUCACUCUUUAAGAGAGGUCAGGGAUUCAAACCCCGCUCUCGUAUGAAGUCACCACUUUGACCAGCACUUCACCUCUUACGAGCCGACUCGGUGCGAACGGGGAUUAAUUUAGGUUGUGGUACGGACUUAAAGGUGUCUCCCACAGUUGAGGCCCACUCAAAACCACCUCGUGGUUAAAAAAAAAAAAAAGUUGACUAGCUUACUGUUUGGUAUUUGCAAAAGAUGGCCGCGAAAAGAUCCAAUUAAUUACGAAGAGCAAAAGCAAACGCAAUCUUCAGUCUUCAGAUUUCAAACCCAACUUCAAAUCAUCGUUCGGAGAAUAUUUCUUUUAUUUAUUCGCUACUUUUUUUUUCCUUUUAAUCCUAAAAGAGAUCGACCCCCAUUUAUAGAGGUGUUAAUCGAUUAAUGGACGAUCCCAGACUUUGUUCAUUUCCAUUAAUACGGCUCCACACCGCAAAAGGGGGCUGCACGCUUGGUAUAUACUUUGUUUAAUCACUUGGGAUACCUCCACCAAUGUUCAUUAUUUUUAUUUAUAUAAGCUGAAACACAAUUACCAUCAACCCUUUUGUUGUCCCUCCUUUCUUUCUCUCUCUGUUUCAUGGUGGGUCAAAGAAAGCAAUGUUUAACAGCAAUUAAAUGCAAAUGCGUAGAUAUUAUUUUGUUGGGGGGUAGUUGGAUGUUUGUUGUCUUAGAUGGGGUUUCUUAUACAACAACAACACAGGCAAUAUGAAUUAUAUCCAUUAAAAAUGAAAACGGCAUGUGUAUGAAGGUGAAGUGCCCCUCAAUUCUCAUUAGUCAUUUCUCAUUUCUCAUUAGUCAUUCCCAUUUAUCUUUAUAUUUUCACAAGUCCAAGGGGCAAUAGCCAAGCAUAUAUGGCUUUAUUUGCUUUUGCAAUUUUCAAUGGACGUCAUUUUCUUUUGCUUUAUUAGGUGGGAGCUUUCAUCGUCUUCGCAAAUCUUGCACUUUCACCCAUUGCUACUGGACAUCACAUAUGCUUCUGUCACGCCACAGACAAACCUUUUGAUUUGAAUAUUUUUACUUGCGUGGGAAAAGUCUAUUUUGGUUAGACGAGUGUAGUUCGUUGGUUGGUCUAAUAGUAAUAUGUAAAAUAUGUGCUUAUACAAUGUGUAUUAUUAUUAUUAUAAGAACUCUUAAUUUACAUUUCAUGUAAUUUAGUGUUUGUCUAUUAUUAUCUAUCAAACGUACAUGCGUAGGAUAUUAAAAAAUGAUAUGAUAAUAAUAUCAUCUAAUAAGUCCCUCUAUUGGCUACCCCUAUGACUAUAUAUAUAUAUAUUGAAUGCAUGGCGUUGUUGCUUUUUAAUAACAUAAAAAACCACGACCUACAUGCAAGAGUGUUCUCUCUCAAUGAUAUUUUGGCAAAUGCUAAGUUAUAAUGAUUGUAACUUAGAGACUCCCUGAUAUUUUAUCUUUUUAUCUUUUGUUUAACUCUUAACAUGUACAUCUCUUACACAAUUAUAUAAUUAUACAUGGGCCACAAAACUUCAAAAAAAUUAUAAUAAUGAAAUGCAAACCAACCAUCCAAGAUUUGUUUAGGUUAUCAAAUUUUCUUUCUACAAGUGAUUUGAGAACAAUAAAUAAAUUGUAUAUAUAAUCAAUAUUAUAUACCUUGUCAAAGUUAUCAAAUGUUAUUGUUGACAUUAUAUAGUCCACAUGGGCACUCAUAAUAUAUGUGUUAGUCAAUUUUAAGGAAAAAAAAGUAGAAUUAUCAAAUAAAUUUUUAAAAUUUACAAAAAGAUAAAUAUUUUUGCCGGCCGCCGUGUUUUUGUUCUCUUAUCAGUUUCUUAUAUGUUAAUCUUACUUUAAUUGGAUGGGAUAAUAAUUAAUUUGAACGAUAUGUAAGCUGAAAAAGCUAACUCUUUUAAGUGCAUCUCAUCAUUGUCAUCCAUGAAAACCCACCACGAAUUUAUGGAAUAAAUUUCCGUAAUUUUUCUUUCUAGGUCAUUGGGCUUACGUGCAAGUGUGGUGGGAUCGCCUCAAAUGUGAAAAAAAUAGCUUAGCAUUUGAUUUGAGUUUAUGAGUAGCUUUGGAAAAGAGAAGCAAUAAAGCUAAUUAAAGACUUAAAGUGAGAAGAAAGCAAAUAAAGAAUCGAAAUCCAGAUAUUGGAGAAUCUUCUAAAGUAAUUGCCUUUGGAGAGUCAAACGAGGGAGGAGGAGCCGAUGAUCGUAAAAAGCUGUUUGAUAAAAAAUAGCACCCAAGUAAUGAUGAAUAACGGGCAAAAAGAGGAAGUUUCAGAAUUUGACACAGCGAUUUUUGAUGUGCUUGCUGUACGUUGAAGUUUCAGUGUUGUGGCAUCAUGGCCCAAUCUUCGCAGUAUUGUUCCCAAAAGUUAUUGAAAUAAGACUUAGGAGACUUAAGGUUGUUGCCUGCAAGUUUGUACUGUAAUCUGUAUGAUCGUACAGAGAACGUUGUCCAAAGCUAGGUUAUAGUACUUUUUUGAACAACUAAUAAUUUUUUUUUUUAAUGUUUAAAUUAUAGAGUCCAAUAUUAAAUAAAUAAAUAAAUAAAUUAUACAAUAUGUAUUAACAUCAUUAUCAUAUUAAGUCUGUCACGCAACUCAUUGAAAUGAAACUGAUCAGAUCCUACACAUGUUAUUGCGCGUCACGUGAUUAAAAUACAUUAUAAGAAAGAACAAAAAAAAAGUGGCAUAAUUCAUACGCAUGAAAAUCGUCUCAUUAAUUGAAACUUUGUGAAGGGCUUAUUUACUUGCAAUGAAUGAGAGAACGCACAGCCGCACACGAAUCAAAAUAUUCAUUCCCAUAGCUUUCCUCGUGUUCGCAUUAUUAUGUUAUGAUGGUGUGAGUUGUUUUUCAGUUAUUUUGACUUUUGUUAAUAGAGCAUACAAGUGGAAAAUGUAUGGGCAUAUAUUACUACUCAUUUAGUUGGAACCUGAUUCAGACUGUGUCGUUGACUUGGAACUUGAUUCAGAUUCAGACUGUGUCGUUGAUGAACAAUCCAAUGGUUGCAUGACCAUUUGCCCCGUGCCCCCAUCAAUGUCGUUGAUGAACCGACUAGCCGGUUCAUCAAUGGGGGCGGUGGUGAAGCUGCCGGCGGUGGCUGCCGUAGUUGCGAUUGGGGUGGCCGUUCCGGCCGGGGCAGCCGAGUCCAAUUCUGGUGUAGUUGCGACUGGGGAGGAUUUGUUGGCUUGAAUUCUUUCAAUCAAUCUUGGCAUCCAUAAAUAACGCACGGUGUCUUUGAAUUGCUUGCUGUUCACGUCACAUUUCAGCUGUUUUGCCUGCUUUUGAACUCGGGUCCUCCAAUAAUUCUUGAUCUCAUUAUCAGUUCUACCCGGCAAGUGUUGAGCAAGUUUCGACCACCUGUAUGCAUAUGUAUAUGUAUUUAAACAAAUUAUUUGUCAUCAAAUUUAUAAUCAUUAGGGUAUACAAACAAGUAACCCCGAUGAAAAAACUUUGUGAAGUUCAUUAAAAUGAAUAUUAAUUUAAUUUACUCACCUGUUUCCCCAUCGAGAAUGAAGCUCUAGAAUCAGAAGCUGUUCUUCAAGAGUGAUCUUUCCAAGUCGAACAUUGGGUCGUAAAUAAUUCAACCACCUUAAUCUGCAGCUCUUUCCAGUUCUUUUGAGGCCUGUUCCAUUGAAUUUGGCUUAGAUAUCAUUUUCUUUCUUUUGGUAAAGUCGUCAAAGAAAAUUUUCGUGGAUUGGAAAUUUGCUUUCAUGAGAAGUGUUUUUUGCUUAAGGACUUUCCACUAACACAUGCUCUUUUUAUUUAAUAAAUCAACUUGCAUCUUAACAUCUCAUCAUAUAUAUCAAUAUCAUCAACUUCAUAGUAAUAAACGCAAAAACGAAGCUAGCUAAUACAAUUUCUCUUUUUACGCUAAACAUGCAGCUUUUAAAUUUUGCUUCGAAUAGGUAAAAGUUCUUGAAAAAGAAAAACACUAAAAAGACAAAAGGGGAAAGGAAGCAAAAACUUCGCCGUUUCGAUUAUGCAUGACAAGGAUCUUUCUCUUUCAUUAAGAAAAAACGAAAAGCCCAUUUUACUCCAAGAAAAGACAUGGAGAUAGAAACAUGACACGAACAAGUUGAUGACUUCAAUCAUCAGCUUGUCAAAUUUUCCUCCGCUAUUAUUAUUAUUGUUUAUUUUAUUUUAUUUCACCAGAGAAUUAUCUCGACAGAGCUAGCGGAUUUUAUUAAAAAAAGAAAAAGAAAAAAAUUACCUGCACAGCGAGCAAGGCGGUUCCAUCGGCCUUCACCAUGAGUAGAAAUGUAAUUAAUAAGUUUAAAAUCUUCUUCAACAGUCCAUGGACCUUUUCUCAUGUCCAAGUCUUCUUCAGAAAUGGUAGUGCUUGAUGAUUUGAAGUUUCUGUUGGCUCUGCAAGCUCUCCCUUUAACUUCCGUUUUCUUUAAUUUAGGUUGCCUUAAAUGAACAAACUGAGUGACUGAAAGAAAAAAGACCCCUUCUUUCAGAUUAUGUAAAGAGAAAUAGCCAAUUCUUAAAAGAGAAAAUAAAAGAGAGAGUGAGAGUGAGUGUUUUGGAUUAAAAUAAAAAAAUGGGCGUGCAAAUGAAGCUGAAGUGAUUGUCAAUUUUAAUUAGUCAUUCUCAUUUAUCUUUCAUUUAUCUUUAUAGUGUGAUUAUUUGACCAAAGUGAGUGUUUUGGAUUAAAAUAAAAAAAAAAUAGCGUGCAUAUGAAGAUGAAGUGCUUCUUAAUUCUCAUUAGUCAUUUUCAUUUAUCUUUAUAGUGCGAUUAUUUGACCAGAGUGAGUGUUUUAGAUUAAAACCAAAAAAUGACGUGCAUAUGAAACUGAAGUGCUUCUCAAUUCUCAGUUCUCAUUCUCAUUUAUUUUUAUAGUGUGAUGAUUAUUUGACCAUGGCAUGCAAAAUCAUUAGUAGAUUUCUUAUUAGAAGAGUAGCAGCAAGCUGUCCAAUUGAUGGAUAAAAUUCCAGUAAGGGUCCGGCUAUGGUGGCCUGUGAUACCACACCCUCACUUUUUGUCUUUUGCUAUUGGCAACUUGCAAUUAGCUCAUUACUCUAACCCCUAAAAUUACUCUUCAAAAUUCAAAUACAUUUACAUCUAAAAUUAUUUAUUUCUAAACCAUCUUCAUAUAACGAACUUAUCUUUUAAUUUGUAGUUUUCACCCAUUAAAGUUAUUUUAUCAUGUAGCAAAAUAUAAUUCUCUAAGAUAAUAAAAUCUAAAAAAAUCUAUUUUAUAAGGGGUGUUUGGGAAGUGAGAAAAUGAAGGGAAGUGGGCAGAAAUGAGAGAGAGGGGAGGGAGAGAAAAAUAUAAAAGAAAAUAAUAACAAGUAAAAAUUAAAAUAAUGUUAGUAAGUAUUGUCCCAUGGCAUAUGCAAAUGCAAUUGCACUUAGAAAUUAUAGCUUUAAAUUCUUGAUGCAUGGAAGCGGCUAAAGGAUUCAGUGAUUGAAAUAGAAAGUUUGAGCAAUUUAUUUGUGUGACAAUAAAACUAGCGAUGAUUGUAUGCAAUUUUUUUUUUAACUUAAAAUGAUUAGAACCAAAAUAAGAAAUAUAUUUUUAGAACCAAUCAUGGUGGUGAUUGAUCUUUUUCUACCUUAAUUUUAAUAAGGGUAUAAUUAAAUUAUAUAUGAUCAAAGUGGUUAAUUCUCUAAUGGAUGAGGAUGGACUAAUCACAUCUCAAAAAAUUGAGAGCCGAGUAACACAUGUUAAAUUAUUUAGUGUGUAGUCAAAUUUAUCCUAUGUUAAUAGUGAUUAUUAAAUAAUACAUAGAUCUAUUAUAUAUUAAAUAAUUAACAUAUAUUAAUGCAAAUUUUAAAAUAAGUAUCAAACUAGGUAAUGGACUUAAGUGUAAAAAUUUUAAAUGACUUGUAGUUAUGUGUCCAAAUAUUGAAAUUUUAUCAUUUUUUAAUGUGCAAGCAAGCGGUAGGAUUGUAGAGUUAAUAACCUAUUAAAUCCAUCUAAGCCAUUAAACUAUUUUUAUGUUGAAUCUGAUGGUUCAUAAUAGCUGAUAAGAAAAUUAAAAAAAGUGGGAGUAUGGAGUCACAGGGUACCAUAGCCGGACCCUAAAAUUCCAUUAACAAACAGAUCAAUCUUUAAUUACUUAUUUUAUUCACCAAAAUAAUAAUAAUAAAAAAAAAGGUCCAGCUAUGUUGGUUAUGCUCUAACUUAAAGUAUCCAUUGCAGCUAUUACAUCUAAAGUUGAAACAACUAAUACUCAUUUCAGCUUUAAAUCCAAUAGCUCUAGGAAAUGUUUUAAUUUAGAGUAUCUCUAACAUAGUAAUUCCCUAAUAAAAAAUAUAUAUAGUAGUUGCUCACUUAAAAUAACAGUGGUAACAACAAACAUACAAAAUAAUAUUAUUUCAAAACAACAAGAGAGGUUCCCCACACAAACCGAUAUUUUAUGGGCUUUUUUUUUGUUGUUCCAUAAAUUUGCAGGUGAAUCCUCUAACCUCCCUUCAAAAUUCUUAAGAAACCCACUUUUCAUUUUCAUAUCUUUUUCUUUUAUGAAAUUGUAAAAAAGGGCAUAAGAUUACAGUAAAAUUUAAUUAAGUUUUACUAUUAUUUAGAAUAAAUUUAAUUAAAUUAUAAACAAACUUUUUUCUUAAUAAAAUUAUUAUUACUUCUUCAUUGUUUCAAAAUUACUUUGAUUUUAUCUACAAAAUUAAUUAUGUCAUAAAUGAGGAUUAAAAAAUAAAUAGGGGUUCAUAAUUUGUAAAUAUAUUUCGGUUUAAUCGAAUUCAUAUUUAUCGUUUUACGUAAUUUGAAAUAAUAAUAGAAUUAUGAUCACAAAAAGAAAAAGGUUCUGUGAUGAUAUUGAAGGGGUGGGUGAGGCAUCACAAAAUUUUUAUGAACAUCAAUAUUAUUUUGGUUCUGUGGCCACUGGUGGGCUUAAUAUGUAAUGCGCCUCCUUCGAUAACAAAAAGCUGAGAUAAAUCUCCAGCGCAAUUGACAAUUGAAGCUGCUGCAUAUUUCUGCAGAAUAAAAAAUAAUUUUCACUAUAUUCUUGAUAAUAGUAGCAUCGGAAGCUUACCUCGAGUUCUUCUUGGAUAAAAUUCUAAUAGUGGAUUGGGUAAAUAUCCGUGGGAACAACAUAUUGAGGAUCCAAGCCUUCCAGUUCCCACAUUAGAAUUUGCAUCCGCAGUCGUCUCCAAGUUACUCGGAUAAGUUUUGCUGGCCGCGUAAGAGAGAUUUGCCCCACAAUUUUUAUGAAAUCGAGCAAAUCCAUACAUGAACAGAAACGUUCAAUAAUAAUUUGGUGUUCCACGCAGUGGGUUCUCUUAAACGUUGAUAGCUUUCCCUCUCACUUGCUUAUAAUAAAUGAAUGAAUUGAAUGCCAAAAUGCCAAUAACAUGUAAAGAGCAUGUAGUUGAAGUGUUUGAUAGGUCAUUUUCCCGCUUCCGGUUCAUCCUCUUUGCAUUUUUUCUGUACACCUGAAUCAAGAGAAAUAAAUGGGAAAUUUUCAUUGUAAUUGGCCCGUCCCAGGAAACAGAAGCUGCUGGGCCAGCAACAACAAACCUCGAUAUUAAAAUUUAUUGACAAGCUAACAAAUUUGCCAUGCGACGAGGGUGUGUGUCCAACGUGCUUGCUUGUAUUUCAAUUUUCAAAGGAAAGCUCGUUUAUAUUAAACGUUUGCUUUCUUGUGAGCCUACCGCCUACUUUGCGAGUUAUGUGUGACUUCGUAAGAUUUAUCUUCACACAAGGCACAUCGAAUAGGGAUGAAAAGCAUGUGCAUAGAUGAACGCUGCCCAUCUUUUAAAUUAGUUAGCCAAUUAUUUUAUUUAAAUUAAAACGAAACGUGAAGAGUGGAGAUGGCUUAGCAAGAUAGACGACUUGGAAAAUUAUGAGAUCUGAAGUAUAUGUAUGUGUCUCGUAAGCUUAUCAAAUAAUUAACAAACUCACCGUGUUUUAUGAAAUACAUACUUACGUACAUAUAUACAUAUAUAUUAUUAUUGUUGAGUCAUGUCCUGAGUUGGUUAGAUCAAUGGAAGUUACUUGAGUUUAUAAGUCCAUUUACUUAAUAAUAAGAUAGUUUUUAAAAUUUGAUACCUAAAGAUAUGAGGUUCAAUCGCUCUAUAAGUAUCAGAACAAGAGCCAAAAUGAAUCUCCAGUAGCUAGAGUAUACUAUAUAGGACGAAAAGAUCGAGACCUAUUAGUUGUUUCAUUUGAGUGGGGAUUGUUGAGUUGUGUCACACGUUUAUUUUCAUUUUAAAAUCGAAUAUUUUAGUUAUAAUGAGUUCUUGCAUAUAUUUGAGAAUGUGGAGGGGUCUAUGAUGGGAUGGUACACUAAUCUCAAAUAAAUGAUCAAAUGAAAAAUUUAUCUUACGUAACUUAACAUGAGGGUUUAUAAGUACGAUAUUUUUUGUUUUUGUUUGGUUUAUCAAAUUCUUAAUGAAUAAAAGCAUUUGCUUUUAUGUGGCCUAAUGGGCUCCAAAAUUACCAAUUCCGUCUACAAUAAACCCUUUUGAAAUGUGUUAUAUAAAUCUGCAAAAGGUUCCUAUGGAUAUGUAAACAAUACAGUAAUUAAUAAUCUUGAUACUUUCAUUUUUUCAAAAUAACAUGUAACAUUUAACUACGACGUUAAGAAAAAAAAAACAUGAUGAAAUGUAAGUAACGCAAAAUUGCCAUAAAUAUAUUUUGACGGGAAAAAGAGGUGAGUCAGCAGACAAUAGGGGUCCCGGCACCGGAUUCCCUGCUGGAAGCAAAGAGGCCCCCAAGUCUCGGCCACUGAUCUCUACGCGGGUCCCACUCUGACCCCCUUCUUUUGAAGUUUCAGAAAUACGGAAAACGCAAAACAUAGUCUUGAAGCCAUGACCCGGGGGCCACGACGAAGCAUUUAAAAGAAGAAGAAAAACACAUCAAAAUUAAUUGAUUAAUUAAUUAAUCAAUUAACCCAAAAACGCAACGCGCGCCCGGAACAUUACCCGAACCCAGCCCCCAUCGGCGCACUGCAUUCAUAGUCGCUGCGAUAAUCAGGGCAGCUCGGGCGGGCCCCCGGAUACAAUUUCCCGGCGAAGGCGACCGAAAGCGAGAUCAAAAGAUAAAGAAAUAGUGAAAGAUGUGGGUGUUCUAUUUGAUCUCGCUGCCGUUAACCCUAGGCAUGGUGCUUAUGACGUUGAGAUACUUCGCUGGGCCCGAGGUUCCUCGUUACGUUUUAUUCACCGUUGGAUACACCUGGUUCUGUUCUCUCUCGAUCAUCAUCCUCGUUCCCGCCGAUAUUUGGACGGUGAGCUUGUCAAUUCUGUUUUCCUUCUUUUUCGUCCGAGCCUCUAUGUUUAACGAUCAUUAGUCGAUUCAAUUUUGGGGAAAUGCCUUUUGUUAGGGAUUUGGCAAUGAUGGCAAAAGCUUCUAUUUGAUUCUGGUUUGAUGAGUAUAACUAUUCGAUUCUUUCAUUACAUUUACAGACAAUAUCGAAUCCACCACAUCAUAAUGAGAAUGGAGGCAUCUCGGUCCUUUGGAGCUUGUCAUAUUGGAGUACGUUUUUACUUACUUGGUAUGCAAUAUGUCAACAACUUACUCACUUCAUUUAUGAAUUUCUCUUUUUGAUCUUUAUUUUUGCUUUCCUUGAGUUAUCAUUGUGCCAAUUGUUUGCAUCCGCUUUUAAACAUAUUAAUCAUUCAAUCUCUUUUGAGCUUCAUUUACUUGUUCUGUAGCAGUUAAGAACCCUUUGAUUGGUUUGGUAUGAUAUUUGAAAAAUGUUUGACCACUUGUAGUUGAGCACUUAGCUAGCACCAUUGGACUGAAUUUAUUCGUGGUAAUCACCAUAAACUGGAAUGGUUUCACUGUCUAUUUGGUGCCUCACUAACAUGCUUGGUAGAUGGUUUUCUGUCGAUCACUGUUUUCUGCAAUAAGUUUACCACCACCACGUGUUCACAGACCUAAUAUCUUUCUGCUUGUCCGACUCUACACAAUAGUGCCACUUUCUAACCUUGGGAGUAGUUUUGACUCAUUAUCAUUUUUAUCAUUUUGCCUUUUUAUAUGAUAGCUUGUCUUCUUGUUCUCUCUUUGGCUAAAUAAGAGAUUACCAAUCAUUCUUCUUGGAGAUGCUUCUCUUUGGUUUUGCCGUUCAUAGAUGCACAAUCCUCAUUUUCUAAAUUAUGUUAUCUCUAAACAGGGCUGUGGUGCCGCUUAUUCAGGGUUUUGAAGAUGCCGGUGACUUUACUGUGACAGAAAGAUUGAGGACUAGCGUGCAUGCUAACUUGCUCUUCUAUUUGAUUGUGGGAUCAAUUGGUCUUUUUGGGCUUAUUCUCCUCAUCACAAUGCACAAAAUUCGGUACAUGUCUUGUGUUCCUAAAUUUUAUUUUCUUUUUUGUUCGAUUAUGGUUUCUUCUUGGCCGACCUUGUCCAUGCCAAAGGUUCCUCGAGAUCUGUAGUAAAUUGUUCUUUCUUAUUCUCAGCUCCUGUGUUGUUGGCCCAUUUAUACAACUAAAUAUUAUAGAAGUGAAUCUUGUCUCACUUGCUGUGUGUUAUUUGUAAUCAAAAUGUUUAACUGGCUAUCGAAUAUGCUGCACAAACUGUCACAUCUGAUGGAUUCUCUCCAAUCAAGUAAUAUGUUCUCAUAUAUUGUUGGUUGAUUUCUGUUAACAGGAGCAGAGGUGUUCUGGGUUUUGCCAUGGCCUGCUCAAAUACAUUUGGACUUGUUACUGGUGCAUUUCUUCUUGGUUUCGGUUUGAGUGAAAUUCCCAAAAGCUGUUGGAAAAAUGCUGAUUGGACCACUCGCCAGAAAGUUCUUUCUCAUAAAAUAGCCAAAAUGGCUGUGAAACUUGACGAUGCUCAUCAAGAUCUUUCAAAUGCUAUUGUAGUAAGUUCUCUUUCUAAUUUUAUGUAAUAACUGGUUGAUGAGGCCACUUAUGUGAGGACUAUGUGGAAAUUGUCAUUAUUGGAAAUAAAGUUGAAUUAUCUUACAUGUCUGCCUUAAAAUCUAAAAGGACUAUGUAUUUAUGGCCAUAUAUAUAGGUCUCUGGCAGUUGUGCUUGCCUUUUUGUUUCUAUAGAAAUGUCUAAUUGGCUGAGUUCUUAUUAUGUAUCAAUCUUCUAGUUCCUGAUCACCAGAAAAAUGUUUGACAGGUGGAUUAUGAAAUAGACUUCUUAGCAGAAAAUUCCUGUUCAUUAUAGAAAAAGGGUCUCUCUUUCAUAUUUGUUUUUACUUGUUAGAAGUGUGAUUGUACUUGUUGGCAUUUUUCUUUUAAUGAUGAUUUACCCUAACAGGUAGCUCAAGCAACAUCAAAUCAAAUGUCCAAGCGGGAUCCUUUGAGACCCUACAUGAAUGUUAUUGAUGAUAUGUUAACUCAAAUGGUACUACAUGCUACAUACUUUUUCAAAUUCACUUGUUUCAACAAGGUGCUAAUAUUAGUGCUUUCAAUUCUGUGACCAGUUUAAAGAAGAUCCAUUCUUCAAGCCACAAGGUGGCAGAUUGGGGGAAAAUGAUAUGGACUAUGAUACAGAUGAGAAAUCAAUGGCAACUCUAAGGCGUCAUCUCCGCAGAGCUAGAGAGGAGUAUUACCGGUAUAAAAGGUAUAAUUGAAUCAUAAAGUUUAAUGUUGGCAUUGUGUUUGUCACUUCCUUUGUAGAUGUACUUGCCAUAUCAGCAUUCAUUCUUUUGAUGCUUCCUAUCAUCUGUUGAAAACUAGUUGCUGCAGUCUUCAGACUUUCCUAUUUGUACUUAGGUGACUGCAUCAGUCUUGUCCUACUAGUGGACUUUUGCGUCCGCACCCAUAACUCUUAGAUUGUCAAUUGUUUUAGAUAUGCUACUUGGUUGGGCCAGAAUAUCUGCCUUGCACAAAAUAUUGAAAACAUGAUAAAUCUUUCCUGCUUAGAUUCUACAGAGAAUCUUUGUUUUUGUAACAUACACAAAUUUGAGAAGAUUUUUCUUUCUUUCUUAACCUAUGUGUUAAGAUGAUUCAAACCUACAUAAGAAAAAAGGUUCCUAUUGUGUACUUUCCUCCUCCCUUCACACAAAUUCUGUAAGGCUAAAGUUUACGUAGGUCUGAAUUUGAGAAGUUUUCAUAAACAUGAUCAUAUAUCACAGUUCCCUUUCAACUUCUUUACUCAUUAAUGGUAAAGCAUUCUUAUUUGCUUAUUCAGAAGUUGUAGUUGACCAGUACUUUCACUACAUAUUAUAUUUUAUAUAUAGAGUCUGGCUAAACGAUUCUGUUUAUAUGAAUAAUGUUUGUUUACCCAGCGUCUACGUAAUUGUUAAUUUGGUUUUAUUUCCCAUGUACAAAUUGUUUCUGCUUCAUGCUUUCGAUGUAACUUUUAUGACAUUGAUCCAACAAAUCUAGUAGAGUAGUAAAUAUUAAUAAAUAUUACCAUUUGUUGAAGCACUGUUCGUCCUCCAUAUUCACAAAGAGUGCAUUUGUGAAAUCUCAGUUUAUUGCAAUACUGUUUUGAAUGUCAAAUUAUAUUCUCUUACUCAAGAGUUAUUAUUGCAGCGAGUAUAUGACCUAUGUGAUGGAGGCGUUAGAACUGGAAGAUACAAUAAAAAACUAUGACCGCCGUAGUUCGACUGGAUGGUUUGCUCUUAAAAACCUUCCUAUAUUAUAUCAUUUUCUUAUCAUCAUAUAUAUUACGGGCCGCUGGCUGUUCACCUUAAUUGUUAUAUAAUUUUCUUAUGAUGUUAUAUCAGGAAAUAUAUAUCAAGCUUUAGACCAGCUCGGACUGGAAAAAUUGGUGCACUCUUAGAUACAGUUGGUAAUCAUCCUAUUUAUUUACUUAUGUCUUUCUUUGAAGUCUCAAUUUCAUAUCGCUUGAUUAUUUGGCAUUACUUUGCGAUACACUACUCAAUAUAUUAGUAUUCCGCAUUACUUGGUGAUGAAUCAAUCAAUUUAGUUUUAAGGAGGAUGGUUAUGUUGUUCCGAAUGUUAAUUAUGAAUGGGAAAACAAUGGUUAUCUUCACACAAGGUAGAAUUGUAAUAUCAUGGAGGUCCUGCAGGGAAGGAGUAGUGGUUGAGUCAUGAAUGACUGUUGAAGGUUUAAAAGGUGAUUCAGGGAUUUCCAAUUGGGGUUUUGUAGGUUUAUAUGAUAGUUUGAUGUGCUUUUAUUGCUUAGAACUAGUGUAUGUAGUUGAAGAGAAGUUAAGAGAAAAAAGAAAAAUAUGAGAGAAGUAGCCAAUUUCACAUUUAAUAGAUCAAAGAGGUAUAGAUAUCAGAAACUUGCUAAGCUGGUGAAUUACUGUUAUAAGAUGGACCAAUGUGAAAGCAAUUAGGGACACGUUUUUUAUCAAACAACCUAAUCAAUUCAGUAGAGGCUAUCUUAAAUCCAAGUAAUCAAAUUGGGCUGCCAGAAAUUUCUGGACAACUCGAGACUGCUAGAUUAUGAUGACACCCAAAAUAGUUUAAAAAAAGGUUCCUGCUAAAACAAAUAUAUGUGCAGGAUUUUUUUAGAUGCAGAAUCCCUCUAAAAUGAAAUGACCUUUAAUUGCCAUCUGUGACCUAAAUUAGGGGUGUAGUAAAAUAAAUAAUAAUAAAAAAAAAAAGAAAAGAAAUUAUUAACCCUUGACUCCUUUGACACAAUCUUCAAAAGGAUAUGAUUAUUCUGGGCCAUUGGGUUUUUUUUUAAUUAUUCUCCACUCUAAAUAUUGUGGUAAGUCUCUCAUCACGUCUGCAUCAAUGCUUCAUGAUGACAAAUAUCAUGUAUAAAUACUCUUUUUUUCCCCCGUUUUGAUGCUUAUAAGUUGGCUUUUUUCAUUUAUUAUGUUUGCUUUUCAUUAACUUAUAUUUAUGAAUUAUCUUGACCACCUGUGGUUGUGACGCUUUUUUUAUUUACUAUUAUAUCAGUAGUAGUCUAUCUGAUUGUAGGUCUUUGUACCGUAAACUUUCAAAAUGGUGGUUCUUUGCAGAGUUUGUUUGGAAAUGUAUUCUAAGAAAGCAAAUUCAGAAGCUUUUAGCUAUCAUCCUUGGUACAAUGUCAGCUGCAAUUCUUUUAGCUGAGGCAACCCUUCUACCUAGUGGUGUUGAUCUUUCACUUUUCUCAAUACUUGUAAACUCUGUGAAAUCAGAAGAAGUGUUUGUGCAGGUAAUUUUUUUUUUUUUUUAAUUUUCCUUUCCUUCCAUCAUAAAGAUAAAACUUAUGCAUCUCGUGUUAUUUACUACCUUCGAGUAUAUUUGGAAGCAAUUCUAUCAGUUUUUGCAAGUGAAUCUGACUACUUCAGGUUCAUGUAGGAUCCAUCUUUGAUUUUGUUGAUAUGUAUUUUCUUAAAGAAUGUCAGAUUUGCAACCCAGAUUCUGUCAUUCCUUUCCACUUUUACAUAUUUUGCACGUCUUUCAUCUCCAAAAAUGGUUUUCCGAUCAGAGCAUACAAAUGGGAUGAUAAGAUCUCUUGCAUGUCCAUUCUGUUGCUUCACCAUCAUUCAAUCACAUUCUGUUUUAUAUCCGUUUUCAAUUUUUUCCAAUUAUUUGAAGAUUCAGUAUCCUAAUGCAGUGCUCUUUAUAUUUGUUUUGAUUGGAACAUCUGAGGAAAAAUGCAAAUCAAGUUCCCUUGUCCUCAUCGUAUAUAGCUGCAGCUGUAUUACUUGUGUGUAUUAAUUUUGAAUCUUAUAGAUAUUUAAUAUUCACUUUGUUACCCUGAAUUUUUGUGUUGAUAUCUUUUGCACAGCUCUUCGCCUUUGUACCUCUGAUGUAUAUGUGCAUCUGCACAUAUUAUUCCUUGUUCAAAGUUGGAAUGUUAAUGUUUUACUCGUUGACACCGCGACAAACAAGCUCUGUCAACUUGCUUAUGAUAUGCUCGUAAGAUUUUCCUUUGCUACUUUUACAUUUUCUUUUGUUGUAAAGAAGAGUAUGUAGUAAUUUAUUACAAGACUUAUUAUUAUUUUUUUUUAAGGAUGAUUGCCCGCUACGCUGCUCCAAUUUCAUUCAACUUCCUCAAUCUCAUCAGCCUCAAAGAAGGCCGUAGAACUAUAUUUGAAAAGGUAAUGUUCUUGUUCAUACCAUUCAUCGGCUGUUAGUUUUCUUGAACAUGUAAAUUCAGGCUUAACAGAAGAAACUGAACUGACAUAGAAAAAUGACUGUGCUUAUCCAGAUAAAUACUGAGAUUAGCACUUAUGACAUACAUGGACAGGAUAAUACGAGUUCCACAUGCUGUGAUUGAAAGUUUAUAAGCCUUUGUUUCUGUUUGUCUUUGCUUCUUUAAUUGUGUGCAACAACGUGUAAGGCAGCUUUUGUGUCUUGGCUGUUUUACAUGUGGCUUCUAUGCUUUAUGGAAGGCUUUUGGAGUAAAUUGAAAUAUUAAUGUACAUCUAUAAAAUUCUGAAAAUAGACUCAACUUAGAUGUUUAAUGAAUUUCUGGUUUGGUUCCAUUAUAAGUUAAAAAUACUCAAUCUGGUGUGUACACAUAUUUUAGCGAGGGAUACGAAUUCAGUAGAUGCAGUAAUGUCACCUGUUAAUUACUGGAAAUCUGUGAAUAUCUUUGGGUAGCAUCUAGGAACCUUUGGACAGGAGUGUCUUCAGAGAAUAGAAGUUGUAGGAAUUUUUUCUUUUGAAUAGGGUGUAUUUUGGCUGCUUAAGAUCUCUUCCUGUUUGAUUUAUCAUAUUUUCUGAUGGAGUUGGAUGUCCUAAUUCUGACUUAAUGUAAUCCAUCAGAGUAAGGUAAUCUUUAUAUUUUUAACCUUGUUUCUCCAGGAUGGACUUCUUCAUUUCAUCUAUUGUCUUGUAUCUGUCUAUUUGCAUGAAUAUUUGAUCAUAUUUAGGGUGCUUAAAUUCUGUGGUUCACAAAUAUGGAAGUUGACUAAUUAAUUUUUAUGGAAUUUUAAUUGCAGCGAAUGGGGAACAUUGAUAGUGCUGUCCCUUUUUUCGGAGAGGGGUUUAACAAAAUCUAUCCACUUAUUAUGGUUAUAUAUACCCUAUUGGUUGCAAGCAAUUUCUUUGAUCGCGUAAUCGAUUUCUUUGGGAGCUGGAAGAGAUUUAGAUUUCAAACUGAGGUGGAUGAUAUGGAUGGAUUUGAUCCAUCUGGAUUGAUUAUUUUACAGAAAGGUAAGCAUUCAGUACUUUGUUCUUCUUGUAGCAUCGGCUGUAGAAUAAUGGCUUAAUAGUGUUGCUUAUUAAUUUUUUGGGAAUUUUAAUGUAAUCUCUAUAGUUCUCAUUUGAGUUCCUUUGUAUUCUUAUAGGAUAAAUGUUUCUGCAGAAAAUUUUGAUCUGAACCUUUUUUUUUUUUUUUUUUUUUGAACGAUCUUGGCUUGAACAAGGGCGUCAAGUUGGUGAAAAUGUUGUUCCACUGGCAAGGAAUUUUAACAAUACUGAUUUUGAGAGUGGGGUCAGACCUUUUCUUUCCGCUUUCUAUUUCAUUUUGGACUGAGUCUAAUCCCUUAUUCUUGGGGCAAUGAACGGGUUUAGGAUGAACCUGGCUGCCAUUAUCUGUCAUUACCCUGUUAUUGCCUGUGUGAUCAGAAACUGAUAAUUCAUUUUCUAACUAGGAAGUAAUCUUUUCAGGAUAUGACACCCGUUGAAAUGAAGGCAACAACCAGUUUAGUUAAUGAUGGUAUGAAGGGAAGUACUUCUAAACCUUCCAAGGAAGAUGCUCGAAAAUACAGCACAAGCAGAGAAGCCAUCAGCAACAAGUAUGCUGGGAUGAGAGAACUGAGUAGACAGACAUCUAGUGCAAAGCCAGUGGAGCAGAAUAUUGCUUCCACCAAGGUCUCAUUGCUUGAUACAGGCAAGUCCUCCAAUGAUACAACUGGAGGGCCAUCCUCUGUUUUGGCCUCAAAAUGGGAAUCAAUGAAAACUAGUUUUCGAAGUUUCAGAGCAAAUAUGGGUGCCAAGAGGCUUCUUCCUUUACACCAAAAUAAGGAUACUAGACUAGUCUCUCGUGCUGACUCAUCAGAUUCAGAAUCCCUUGAUGAGAUAUUUCAGAGGUUGAAACGACCAUCUGUACAGCAUGAGAAUUUUGCAGAUGAGGAUGACAAUCAAAACGACACAAAGUAAAUAUGUCAGGCCCUUCUAGAUUAUAUAAAGAUCGCUCAAGUUAGCGAACCUGUUUCUUGUGUGAAGAAGUUGUACAGCUUUCCAAGGGGUAGACUCGAGCACAUACCAAUUUUUUUUGGGUGAAUCCUCUAUUACAACAGAAGUUAAGAGGAUGAUACUCUCUUAUAGAGAUUGAAUACUGAAUGCGUCUAUAAUUAGUUGGGAAACUUUUCACUGUUGAUCAGUAAUUCGACGUGUAUCAUUGAACCACAUUUUGGCAUACGCAGCCCUUAUUGGGUGACUGAUACAUGGUCAAUUCAUUACCACAGCCGUUGUAGAAAAGUCUGUUAUAGGAUAUAUAUAUGAUUUUUUUUUUAAGGCCAGACCGUUCUUUUAAUGAAUCACUGAGCUGAUUUUGAUGAUCGAAAUUUGAGAAUUCUCAAUAAGGAAGGUAGAUCGCUCAACGGCAUUCUUUCAAUGGUUCUGUAGCAUAUGGAUAUCAGCAAGGCGAAGAAGAUAAAAUAAGCCUUCAAAUCAGUGGGUUCAAUGUCAAUGGCGAUGCAAAAGAUUUUAACAAAUAUAAUAAUGUCAUGUGCUGGUUAUCUUACAGCAGACCAGAACAGAAGAAUCUGAUCUCUCUUCAAAUCUGAAUUUUGUAGAAUAUGGAGGUUCGCACUUGUGGCACCACCUAGUAUAAUAUAGUAAAUAACAUGAUAUGCGUAGGAUUCCAAGGGUUCGAGUGCAGCCGGGACAGAAAUUCUUGGGUGCAAAAAUUGACCAAUGGACUAAAUUUCCACGACGCCAGAAUACUUCAUUCGAGUGUAGAAUCAUCAGAAUGAAGAGAUGGGAGAUAAGAGUUAGAAAUAUGGGCAAUCAAGAAGACUUUGUGCACUGAAAAAAUCAAAAGCAAUUUGAUAUAGAAAUUCAACAAAUAAACGGGAGGUGCAUCAAAAUUGAACAAGUCGCAUCAGAACACCAUUACAGAUAAUAUUUCAACUAUUAGACUGUCGAAAUGUAAAUAUAACAUUUUCUCAUGUAAAAUGAUCUUCCGUUUAUUCUGUAAAAGUAAAACAGAAGGAAACCCAUCAAUCACCACAAACCCUUACCCCUCUAGGCUAUAGCUCAUGGCUCCUGGCUCAUGUUUCUCUUACGCUAACAUUCCUUGAACGCAUAAAAAUGUCCUUCUUCCUAUCCCAAUGGAGCAACUUCGACCAAAAACCUUGUUUCUUCUUGUCACUCUUACGCUCUCCAACAAAGUUGCUCGGAACAAAAGCAAUCGAUCUACUCUUCUUCAACCCAAUAUUGCUGCCAGCACUUAACACGAAAGAUAUCGACCCGAUGAUCUCCGAAGCGACUCGAUUAUGUCGACGACGAGACGGAGACUUGUUGUUGGAUGAGGAAGCAGAAGCAGAAGAGUAGCCAGCUGGUGAUGAAGAAUGUGGAGAAGAACUACAAGAACGAGAAAGCAUCGAAGUUUUCUUGAGAGAAGUGGCAGCAGCUAACUGAGAGAGCCUUUCUCUUAGACAGAACGGACAAACCCCUUGAAGCUGCUUGCGAUUUUGGUGCCUCUUGCAAUAAGCUACUUCCGAUUCACACCACCCCAUCUCCGAUCUCUUCGACUCUGGAUUGCGUUUGAUGAACAUAUAUUCACUUUUUACCUUUUGCUCAAGCUUGCUUUAACUGUUCCCUUUUACUUACAAAACCGAUGCUAUCUGGAUUGGGAAUACAUAGGCGUACAGACUAGUACAGAAGACGAAAGGGCAGAUAUUUAUGUACGGGUGUGUCGUGGAAGUGGAACGGUUAGCCGGUGGUCAGGAAGGAUUUCAAAGAAAUCAAAGAGCGGGCCCACUUACAAUAUCCAUCCAGACCCCUGGUAGAAUCAGUUCAAUCAGCAAUAAAUGAAAACGUGUCGAGCAGCACGUGUGGCACUCCGGAUUGGGAUUCAUGAAUAAGUCGGCCGCACGAGGAUCUCGUUCAACCAAUACCAGACGACGUGCCUUCAAUAAAUUAUGUCUCCGAAAAUGUCGCCGGCAGUACAACUAACCAUCUUAGAUAAAAUAAACAAAUAUCGAAAAAUCUUUUUUUCUUUUUUUAAAUCACAAUUUAGCUUGUAAAUUUAAGUUCAAUCUUAUUAUUAUUUAAAAAAAAAAAAAGAUAAUAUACUUCUAAGAAAUUAUAUUUAUUAUUGUUUGCCACAACCAAUAACCAUAUAAAUUCUGAGCAUUUAAAUAUUAAAGGUGAGGAGGCAUGAGAUAAGAUAAAGUAAACGUGCACGAGGCACACGAGGUGCUGUAGGCGAAUCCGACGACCGUGAUAAUCGAAAUGGAAGAUUUUGUGGUCCGUACAUUGACACGGCACCAUUGGGUAAGAAAGAGAGCAUGUAUGUAUGUUUCUACUUUCUAGCUGCAGCGACCGACAAGCUUUUCAAAUUACGAGUAAAUCUUCCGAGGUUGCACGCACGCACCAUCAAGUUUUCUCAUCCCACUUCUGGACAAAUUUGUGCCUACUUCCACGUUUUCUACGCUCCACUCAAUGCGCAAUAGUUAGUAAAAUUUGUUUAUCCUUGGGGUUAUUUUUAGAUUACUCUUUUAGUGAAUUAUUUAUUUUUAAAUCACUCACCUUAUUUUAAAAAAAAAUAUUAAGACUCUCUCUUUUUUUUUUUUGCCCAAAAAUAAAAUUCAUCAACCCACUCUCAUUUUUUCUUUAUUUUUAAUCAAAUAGUAUGGUAAUUUAAAAUUUUUAAAAGUAAAGAGCUAAUUUAAAGGAUCAGACUACGAUGCAAUUAUGAUACCGUGCCACAUUUAUAUUCAACCGUUAGAUACAUUUGAAUUAAUAAGGUCCACUAACAUUCAACAAUUAGAUACAAUUGUGACACGGUACCACAAUUGCACCUAAAAUUUCCCUUAAUUUAAAUAUAAUUAAUUCACGAGUACAAAAUAUACCUUUAAUCUUUUGACUUGUAAACCACUGAAGAAAAAAAAAAUCAAUUUUUAAGUGCCACGUUUUCACAUUAUGCACACAAUGACGUUAAAGUACAAGAGCUUUACAAUGAUGUGAAAAAUAAAAAAAAAGUAAAAAAAAGUACAUACUCUGUAAAGUGAGAACAUCCAUGAAUGACUUAAAACUCGGAAACAAAAAUAUUUGCUAAUAUAAUAAUUUGAACCCAAAUCGAGUCGUCUCCCAAAGUCACACACCUGCCGCGAGUUAAAGUUUCAUCAUCUUAGAAUUAUAUUAUAUUAUAUAUUCUGGAUAUAUAAAACACAAAAAAAUUGAAGCCAUUGCAUAUUUAAUUUUCUAUUUGAUAAGUUUGGCAAACUCCUGUACGUACAUCUCAUCUAAGCAUGUAUACAAUAUAGCUCAAAAAAUCCGGUGCCAAUUAUUGCGAGACCCGUGCAUUAAGGGCAUGACCCUCGUCGAAGGAGCUAAAUAUUCUUUCUUUAUUUUCAGAACCCAAAAGCACUUGCAUCCAUGCCAUGUCACUGAACCUUAACAGGCAACUGUAGAAACAAUUAAUUUGGUGGUCUGAUUAUUCAGCUCAUUCCCUUGAAACUCGCAUUGCAUGAACCGAAGCGUUGAUAAGAUCUUCCACCGAUGUUGGACCUGGUCUCGAUUUUAACUUCUUUUGCUGUGGCAUUUCAUUUUUUUUUUUUGGUUUGGGCUUCUCCAUCCUGAGCUUGUCCUACAUAUUGUGCGGGCCAUUGGCUGGUCAUUUGACGGACGUAACAUAAAAUUUCUUAAAACUCGUAUUAUGAAAGCAAAGCCUACAACUUAGAAAUAUGAACAUCUCUAUUAUUAUUAUUAUUAUUCUCCUUGGAAUAUAAACGAAUACCAAAGUAAUAUUUUGUACAUAUGAUUCUUUUUUUUUAAAAAAAAGAAAAAGAAAAAGUGGCUAAUGUAAGGCGGCAAUAUGGGGACUAAUUAACAAGGGAUAUACAAAUAAUAGAGUUAAUUGAUUAACAAAAGUACUAAAUAUAAAUCCUAGAUUAUUACCAGAAAUAUGAACAUCAAAGUCACAUACACUUGUGGAAAAUUAUUUGCCAUAACGAUGGGCAGAUUUUCAAAAUUUUAGCCCAACCUUGGAAAGCCCAAUUUCAAAAGACCGAAAAGAUGGAUUCUUUCAUAAAACGGUUGGGUCCACUUGCUUGAUUUUAGAUGAGGAACUGUCACCGACGUCAUCAAAAUUCCUGAAUGCUGGCCCAUGUCUUGUCACUGAAAAUCCUGGCACGAAAGCUGUACACAGGAAAGCGUAUUUUCGAGGGAAAGGCGAUUCCUCAUGUCGUCUCAGCCCGUACGUAGUUCACUUACCAGAAAUGAGGUAGCUAUCGAGUCCUGUCAGCUAUAGCCAAUUAGCAACAAUCAAACCAAGUUGUGCUGCUAAACCCCCGGUCCACAGCUGCCAUGCAUGGUCAAUUUCUUUUUUAAUCUAAUUAUUGUAUUUUAAAUGAAAGAAAAGCCGUCUGUCUGUGAUGUCAAUAAUAAUAAUAAUAAUAAUAAUAGUAGUAGUGGAAGAGGGUGGGGUUGGGUUGCUAUCUCACAAUCUCAAUCGCGCCUCAACUCAUUACUCAACAAAGGGACAAGUAUUAUCUUCAUUGUAAGUCUAUCCAAAAUAAUCCAUUGGCAGCUUUGGCUAUCGGCAGCGCGAGAAAGCAAAAACAAAGAAUUCUUUUGUUGUUAUUUGUCAAACUGGUAGGCCAAUACCAAUCUCGACAUUUCAACAUAAGCAUUUUGUUCUUUGGAAUCUGCAAGUUGCAUUGGAAUCAAUUUAGGUUUAUGCUUUUGGCAGCGGCGGCAAUACUAUUACCGCCGCUUGCAUGCUUUGCCACUAGGAGGAGUACCAUGACGGACGUGCAUAAAGAGCAUAAAAUCUUCGAACGUGUUGCAGCAGCAUAAGUACUACUACUGGUAAUUUAACUAUUUAUUAUUGCACAAUUUGGACAAAGGCGAUUUUCAAGAGCGAGUCGUGCCAAGUGGCUGGGAGGAUGGCUAAUUGGCUUGAGCCAGGAAGGAUCACAAAGUUUAAUGCAUGCAAAGCAAAAUAGUGGGCUGCAUUGAAAAAAAUAAAGAUAAAAUUACGAAACAAAAGGUUGAUGGGGACAGGGGAAAGGGAAAUGGACCCAUACACACAUGUUGGUCUUUCUCCUUUCAGUUGUCAUGAAAAUGGGACCCAAUUCUUUUACAUUUUUUCUACUCUUUGAUUUGAUUUCAUUGUGUCAGCACUCAACUCAUAAGCACAGCCAUGUUUGACUCCCUGCUCUGCCCAUCCUCCCUGCUAAUCAAAGCUCACAAACAAACACACGCUCGCUCACAGUCACAUUUUUCUUUCCAUGAGCACAGAUCCCUAGAAGCAUCUGCAAAGCUUUUUCACCCCCCUAGAUUUCUGCGCCCACUGUUUUGCUAUUUGCCAUUUGCCGUUUGUUUUUCUUAAACCUUUUGUUUUUGCACUUCUUUGUAUGCUCUCGCUUUCUUUUGUUUCUUGGUGAACAACAGUUCUCUUCCUUUCGUUGGCUUCAGUUUCGCUUUCUUUGGUUUUUUUAAAUUAUCAAAGAAAAGGAUCGUUGGAACUUUAAUGAAAGAAUCUCAACAUGAACAUCACGUAGAAAAGGAUCAUCCUUUAAGGGUUUGGUCGAUUUUGAAUGUGAAAAAUUUAAUUGAUCGUCAAUGCUAAUUUAUAAAUUCGAAAGAUCUAAUACAUCUUACUAGUAGAUUUUUUACCUUCCUCCACCUCUGUGUGACAAAAGGCCUCGAGGUGGAAUUCUCUUAUCUUAUGCAAUCGGAUCAUUUGCUAUUUUAGUUUCAAAUAUUGUAUUUGAUUUCAUCUAUAAAAUUUCUAAUUUUUUUGAAAAAAAAAAAUAUAUGUAAAAAUGACACCAAAUGCGAAGGUGAAAAACCAUGUAAGGGGGGGGGGGGGGGAGGAGAUUGAGAUCUGUUUCGUGUUUUUUUUUUAAUUUAUUAAUUUAUUUAAUAUUAUACAAAAGGCAGAUGUAAAACGAGCAGCCGAGUCCAAACAAAAGAUCAAAAGAAGAAAAGAAAGGGAUGGGAUGGGAUUCUUUAGUCUGUUCACAACACAAGUGGGUGAAUCCAAAAGCCAAAAUCCUGUUCCUCUUUUCAGUUUUCUCCGUCCAAUCCAGUUGAUGUUGAUUUUUUUUUUUUCUUUUUCAAAGUUCUGUAAGGUUAUUAUUUUCGAUGCGACUUUGAUUUUGAUACCGCGGUUGUGGGCUCCACGUCCCACCAACCCUGUCACCCUACUGGGCUCCAUCCACUUUUAUCUUUCCCUCACGCCCCCCCGCGAAAGUAUCUUCACGUUCGAACCUUUGUUCGAAUUUCUACCCCCGUUUCUCUUCGGAGCCUCUAUCUCACGCGUUCAAGGUUGUUCUGGAGAUUGAUUUUCUCGUGGGUCUAGAGGACUCGUCAGCUGUCCCUCUCAAUGGACCCUUCUGCGCGGGCUUCUUGGGGGCUUGGCCCACGCGGGCCCACUUAGCGCUCACCGGUCACCACGCAAAAAAGCACCCUUUUUUUCCAAUCAGCUGGGCCCUGGCCCAAAUCCCAAUCAAAGUAUUCUAUUCCAAUUUUCUGAUUUACCACCACCGUGCACAGCAAAAAACAUCGAUUUACUGCGGUUACUAGAUUUUUUUUUUCUUUUCAAUAUCUUAAAUGUUGUUUUUAUUGAAUGAGUAUACAAUGUUAAACUGAGUUAUUGUUGAGUAUUAAAUUAAGGGUUGUUAGAUGAGAGAAAUUAAAAUAAAUAAAUAGAUCUUGACCCUAAAUCCAAUGAUUAGUAAAAACUCAGUUUAGUAUUGAAUUGUAAUCAAUUUUAUUUAAAUUGUGUUUUUAAAAAAAAAUAUAUAUAUAUAUAUAUAUAUUGCAUUUCAUUGAUAAUCUAAUAAAUAACUUCAUAAUGACCAACUAGACAUACAACACAAUUUUAUAAUUUAUUAUGAGUUGUGUUGAAAUUGUCUAUUCAAUAAUAUUAAGAUUUCCAACGGUUAGAUCUUAAUUUAUAUCUUAAGUAUAUGCGUCACUCAUCUAUUACAUAAUAAAUUUUAUAAAUAAUAAAAUUAUUAUUAUUAUUUUAUCAUUCCAAAAAUAAUGUCACGUCAUUUAAGAUUUAAUGUUGGCAUCGUUAAUAAUAUUUUUGGUUUAAUCAUGCAAUGUUAGAUGAUAGUAUAGCUCACUUGGGCAUUGUACAUAAACCUUUGUCCUUUCUUUCCAAAAAUUAUGCAAAUGAUGAACCUUAGAUUGUUUCAAGUGCUUAAAAUGGACAUAUGCUUAGACCAUUAAAUUCUUUAUUUUUAAUGAAAUAAAGUGGGUUCAAAAAUUAAAUUUGGAGUUCACAAGAUGUAAGUGCCGCGAAAUUCUGGGGAAUAAACUUGGGAUCCGCUGUUGCAAGGCAGUGAGAUGUAUCUGUCAGAGAAUAUUUAUUAUUAAAUUUGACAAUUUUUAAAUAUGAUUAAUUUACAGGGUCCAGUUAUGGUGCAACUGUGGUAUCAUACCACAGCUGCAUCCAACCAUUAAAUCUAGCUUACAAUUGUCACUAUAAUUAAAUUCAAUAGAUAGAUGCAGCUGUGGUAUGGUACCACAGUUGUACCAUAAUUUUGCCCUAAUUUAUAAUAUAUUUAAGAUAAAAAUAAAAUAAAAUAAAAGAUUUUAUUCUUUCAAGAUUGAUUUUUUUUCAAUAUUAUAUAUCUAAUCCUUUGUAACGUAUUGUUUUUAUUCAUAGAAAGAAGGAUGUCAAAAUUAUUCACCGACAAGUUAGAAUCGAUGCACAUGCUGAGUUUGGUACCAUGGCAGCAUUAAAGAUGCCAUACACAAACAAACAAACAAUGUUUGAGCUAAAAAUGAGAGAAACUUUGGUUCUAAUGGUGUAUUUAUUGAUCAAUAAUUAAAAUAUAUUGAAAUUGGAAUAUGUUGAAAUCGAAAUGAGGACCAAGACUUAAAAUAAAUUAUUUACUUUAGUUGUAAGAAUUAAAAUUAGAAUGAACCUUGCUGUUAUUGAUGUGUUUACUAGUAAAUAAACAUUAUCAAUAAUUCUCAUUCUUUAUUAUCAUUCUUCAAUCUCACAAGUAAUGGUGUGAUUACUUAUUAGUAAUGGAAAUAAGAAUUAAGGAAUGAGAAUUAAUAAUUUGUUUACUUCUAAAAUAAAGAGGGGAUUGGAAAUCAAAUUGGUGUAGGGCUGAUUAAUCUGAACAUGAUUACUGAAGUUUGAUUCCUAAAGCAGGUUGGGCAUCAGAACUUUGCUCCUAGGACCAAUCAAAUUAGGCCACUCAAAUUUUAUAAUCCCAUUUCAUCCUUCUUUUAAAUAUUUGGGGAAAAAAAAACAUAUUGAGUACUACACAGAUCAAUCUUGUUGCCGCUGCUGCUCUUCGACAUCAUUCAUUGAGCUCCCGUCGGUCAUCGUCGUUGCCGUUGUUGCUCAUUACUACUUGCCAUCUUACUGUCGGUUAUUAUUGCGAUGAUGAUGAUUAUCAUUAUCAUUGUUGGUAGUUUUAUUAAAAUUUUUAUUGUUAUUAUUGUUGGAUAAGUUUGUACAAUAAUAAUAAUAAUAAUAAUAAUACUUCACUAAGCACAUUAUUCAUUAUGAUUCGAAGACAAAAUAAAUAAAUCAAUAGCAAUAUAGCUCAUUCUAAUUCUGAUUCCUGCAAUUCAAGUAAAUAUUUUGUUUUGGUUCUCAUUCUUCGUUCCCAUUUUGAUUCCAACCAAAUUCUAUUGUCAAUUAGUAAAUACACCAUAAAUAUAAUGGAUACAAAUAUUUAACUUCCACAAGAAUUUGAACAUGUGCAUCUCUUGUUAACGUCAAACAUAGUGUGAACAUAACAACCGGCACUAUUUUCUUCGAUUUGGUUUGUUUGAUACCCAUAUUAUGAUAUAAUAUUAACAUUUUUAAUUGAAGAAAUGAUAAUCCGUGAUUAUAAUUAAGGAUGGGGCUAAGUCACCGCAGGCGAAAAAUCAUAUAAUAAUGUUGUUGUUAUAACACGAUACUAUAACGAAAGUUUUUAAUAUAAUUUUGUAUGGUUACAUACAAGACAUUAUCCUUUCCUUAACUACACGGCGAUGAAGCAUAUAUUGAUUGAAAAAAGCAAAAAGGCAAGUUCUAUAAUGUUGAAACUCGGUUCAAUCCGAAUGAUAAAUUUUUCUUUUUUUAAGUUACGUAUUGCUUUUUGAAAAUGUGGUUUAGGUGAGUAGUUUUGAUGUAUGAAUUCUCUUAAUUGAUAAAAGAAUAUAUAUAUAUAUAUAUGGGUGGAAGUGUAAUAUGUAAUACAUGUUAGUAAAUUAAGCAGAUAAGGUAUUAGAAUCUACCUACCUAUUUUGUCUAUGUAAAAUUGUUGCAUUCGAGAAAACGUUUAAAGAUUGUCGGGUUAUUAUUAUUAUUAAUUUUUUUUUUUUCACUUUUGUUCUUUAUGCAGCAGAUUUUCUUUAAUAUCAGAGCUGAUUUAUGAACUGCGUUUAUUGUCGCUUUGCUUGUCAAAGAUAGUAUCCAGUAUCCACAAACUUUUUUUUUUUUUAUAUUUUUAAUUGUAACAUUAAUGUCGAUUUAUAAUGUAAGAUUGUUUGAGAAAUGUACUUUAACUUUGGGCACAUCUUAUCCUAUUAAGAAGUUAUCAUGUGAUGCAAUUUAAAACUCUUCCCAAAUUUCAAUGGCAUAAAUUUUUAGGAAUUAACCUUGGAUCUGCUGCUAUUGAAUUACUAAGAUGUGUUUGUCCGAUACCUUGACGGUGGAAUAAAAUACUCCCGCUUCUGAAUAUAAAAGGUCAAAUAAGCAGCAGAUGGAUACAAUAGUCAAUAAACAAGAUGUUAUUAAAUUCAAUAAGAAAUUUUGUUUAGCUCAACAAGUCACUGAAAUAUGGUAACAUGUUUUUUGGAAUAUAUAAUCCAGCUGAACAAGUGGAUUUAUAUUAAUACACGAGAAGAUCUAAUUUUAAGCAUUUCUUUUUUUAAUUUCCACUCUUAUCAGAUUGCAUUAGUGGCGAAGCUAGCAUCAUUUUUUUAGGUGGGCUAUAUUUUUUUAAAAAAUGAAAUUUACUUCUCAAAAAAUUUGUUUUAUACAAACGAAAUUAAGCACACUACAUAAGCAAAAAUUUAACCAUAAAACUAUAAAAAUAUAAUGUAAAUAAGAAAAAUCUUAUCAAAUAUUAAAUUUGUUUGUUUUUAUUUUUUUAUAAAAUAUUAAUAAAGUAAAUUUAUAAAUUAUAAUUAAUUUUUUUUAAAAGCUAACCCGGGCUGCAACCCGGGUUAGCCUACCUUUAGCUUCGCCCCAGGAUUGCAUUGUAUGUUCUUUUUUCUUUUUUUCUUUUUUUCUUUUUUAUUCUUUACUUGCAAAUUACUAGAAAAAAAUAAAUGUCAAUUACUUCUAUAAAUUAAGUUCUUCACAAUUAAGUGGUAAUUGAAAAUCCAUAUGCGUUAGUAACAAAAGAUUUUCUAUUUGAAUAAUUUUAUACAUAUAUGUCUUCUUAAAUAUUAUUAAAUCUCGGAAGCGUUUGGUAUUAACAACUCCGUAAUAGAACUGUCCGGCGCUGUCUUCUCUUAUUCUUAAAGAUGAGUUGUAAAUUUUUGCCAAACAUUUUACGGAUGUGGUCUAAAACCACAACUAUUAUACAAUAAUACCAAAUGGUUAGUGGAGCCCAAAUAGUAAUAGAUUAUUGUUCUUUUUUUGGGGGGGGAGGGGGUGUAAAGGUGGUCACCCAUGUUCCAACAUAAAAAUUUUUACAUAUUAACUCAUAUGUUUGCGACAUUGAUUAUUCCCGAAAAGUAAAUGUGUUAAUACGUAAGAAUAAUGUUAUCUUCUUACAAACUUUGAAAAUUCAUAAUAAACUACAAAAAGCAGACUUCAGAAGACUUUGAAAAAUUGAUAAUAAACUACCAAAAUAGGCCGGCCCCAAGGUUUAAUUAUCAUAUAAACUCUCUCAAUUGUGGACAUUUUAUGAUAAAAUUGACCCCAAACUCAUGACGAAGUAUGUGAAAUUGGAUUACUAAGUCCAAUUAAUACUAAUUUUAUGACGCUUAAUCGAUGAAACUUUCUAUUAUAUUUGGUAAAUUGACCUAGUCAUAUCGCGACUUAAACAAAAUCAUUAAUCACAUAUCAUAUCACAAAAUAGUGAUAAACUAAGAGACAUAUCACAUUGCUAAUCAAAUCCAUUCUUCCCAACCAACACAGCAAUGUAUGUGGAUGGCAAAAAAAAGUAUCCACCACAAAAUUCUUUUAGGCAGUUGUAUAAAUUCACAGUGAUUCUUAAAAGUAUAAAAAAGGGGGAGAAUCACACCUCACACAUUUUUUAGUUUUUUCUUUUCCUUGAUUUUCAGUUAUCUUUAAUAAUUUUCAUAAUAUUUAAUUCUGAUAGAUAUUUUAAAUCUUUAUCUGAAAUUUCAUCUUAAAUUACUUGACCUCUUAUGUAUCAUUAAUUUGGUAGUUGAUAAUCUUUUACAAAUUUCAAGUGAAUUAAUUAUGUUAAGUCGCCAUCAUUUGUGUUGCAAUCUAAAAAGGGAUAUUAUCAUUUUGUCACCAAAGUUAUUAUGAUAUAUCAUGUCAGUACCAUGGUUUGUUGAAAAAUGUAUUUUAUCACUAAACAUUUGGCGUUGUUAUCAAUUUACCACAUUUCUAUUAAAAAAAACGUUAAUGUUUAACAGAAAAUGAGUUAAAAGUCAAUUUUACGCCCAGGAGAAUAAAAAACAAUUUUACCCUUUGAAAAGAAAGAAACAAUGAACAAAAAUAAGAUUUAGAAAACAACUAAAAAUUAUAAUUAAUAAAAAAUGAAUAAUAUGCAUAAUUACGAUAAACGACAAAGAAAACAAUUAAUAAAAAUUUAUGUUUCAAAAUUAAUAUUUAUUUUACACUUGUAACGCAAUGUUUUGGCUUCAAUAGGAAAUGUGUUUGAUGCCCUUAUGACAUCAGUAAAACAUCAACAAUUUUUAAUAUUUUUAACAAAAAGGUGGUAAAUUGAUAACAACGCAAACAUUUGGUGGUAAAAUAUAUUUUUUGGUAAAUUGUGGUACUGACAUUAUAUGUCAUAAUAACUUUAGUGGUAAAAUGAUAAUAUCUCAUUUAAAAAUAAAUAUUUAGACUAUUUCACGGUAUUCAAUUUCAUUAUCCUUAAAUGUCAGAAUUACCAAAAAAAUCAUUCCGUUGAACCCGAUCAUAAAACAAUAACUCUUUUUUUUCUUUUCUUUUUUGGCUGGGAACACCUGAGGAUGUAACAGUGCAUCAGAACAACGAUAGGAGAUUAGCUAGUAAAAAAUUGUAGGAAAAAAUAUCAAACUGCCGAUUAAAAAGACUGUAAUGAAUCGAAAUUACAGAUUCAAAAAAAAAAAAGAUCGGCUAAGCCGAGCUAAAAGUAGCAUGUGGCUUAUUUGAUUUCUGACAGUGACACUAUUGAUGGGGACCUUAGUGUUCCUUUCUCUAAUGACUAAUCUUUUAGUAAUCUAUUUUUUUUUUUCAAUGAACUUUGAUUAAAAUAAAUUUUGUGCUUAUUACUUUUCAAUGCAACGUCCCCACUGCAAAUACUCGAACUCAAGUUUUUUUACAUUAGUUGAUGGAGAAAGGGCCCCUACCCAACAUAUUUUAUUUAGGACGAAUAAUUAAUUUAAUCAGAUAUUCAUUUGGGAAGAUCUUUAAUAAUCCAGAACAGGCAAUUAACAUAAUUCUCAAUUAAGCCCACAAUUGGGUUUAUGCGAAUCGCUCUGCGUUUGUCAGAUUUCAAUUUCUAAGUUUAUUAUUAGGAGUCCGCCAAUAACAAGAUAAUGAUGCAUUAUAAUGAUACAGCUAAUUUGGUCUUCUUAAAUAGGUGGUCGUAUUAUUAUUAUUAUUAUUAUUUAGAUUGAAUGGGUACUUAUUUAAAUGACGAAUACUCGACUUGUUUUACAUCAUUGACCAUGAUGCUGCUUAAGUAAAAUAAUGUGAUAUAUAUGAUUUAAUGUCUUAAAACUUUACACUAAUAACGAUCUAGGUACAAGAUAAAAAAUGUAAAUGUUAGUUAUUUGUUUUCAGACGUUUAUAAUAAGAUGCUAAAUAAAUAAAUAUGAUAGUUUAACACAUAUAUAUAAUCUAAAUUUCGAUCUAAUUAUAAUUAAAAUAAAAGUCUGACUAUAUUGAAAUUAUUUUAUAGUAGAACAAUGUUGUUGACCGUAUAAUCAUUAAAAUAAAUAUUAAAUUUAUAUUUACUGUUAUAAUAUGAAUCUAACGAUUAUUAUCAAUACUUCAUGGUCGAACACCAUAGCCAGUUAGCCACUGCCUUAAAAUAAUCCAAACUUCAGCUAAAAGAACAAACGUCAGUUGAUUGAUGUCUUCAAGAAUGGUUGGUUGGGUAAUGAGUACAAUGCACAGCUCCUAAUGUGAACAAUUGAAUGUUAUGUUUCUUUGGACCACUUACAGCAAUUGGCAGCUUUGUUUGUUUUAGUGAUUAGUGAAGAUCAUUCUGAUAUUAUGAUAAUAAUAAUAAUAAUAAGGAUCAGGCUACGGUGUAACUGUGGCACCGUGCUACAAUUGCAUCUAACCGUUGGAUGUAAUUAAAGUGGUGGGGUCCACUGACAUCCAACGGUUAGAUGUAAUUGUGGAACGGUGCCACAGUUGCACCUAAGAUUCUCCCUAAUAAUAAUAAUAAUAAUUGAUGAUUUGCUCACCUUCCAUUAAAGUUCCAUAAUCCGUCCUUGCAUACGUAAUUUCAGAACAAAACUUACAAGAAAGAACCAAGUUAGAAGAGAGCGUUUGCCGCGAGACACAGAAAGAAAGCCCCCAGAAGUCAUUCCCAAGUGCUUUCUCUCUGAAAAAGGCCAGGAAAUCGACUCACACGUGUCCGACAAGUGUUUGGAUCUAACGAUUGAAAAGUUACUUACUAAAAACAUGUGGCCCCACUGGAGAUGCUGCAGGUCAAAAAAAUUGACCGUGUGCGAUGGUAUUAAUCACUACUAUUAACACGUCUUCAUUCGGAAGCUAAAGCAUACACAACUCCAAGAGAGAAAAGAAAAGUGGAAAAGCAAAACAGAGUGCGGAGUCAUUGUCGUUGCUUUUGUCUUUAAACGGCCGCGUCUCAUUUAACUUUCCUAAUGUAUCAUCAACUAUACUGUCACUAUCCGACGUUGUAUGCCCUUCCACGCCACUCCCGGUGUAAAAUUGACCGUUGAUUUCUUUUUCUUGGUAAUAACAUAUCACGAGUAUAACGCAUUAAUUUAAUAUGAUUCAGCAAUAUUAUUAAUGUGAUCGUAAACAUAUUUAACUCAUUAUAACUGCCACCAAAAAUUUGAUGAAGACAUCUAAAACAUGAAAAAGCAUCAAUCGUGGUGAUUUAUUUGAGUCUAAAAUCAACUUAGCAAGUAUGUUAAUUGAAUGUGUAAACGCCAACCAAUCUUGAUUUAGUUUUUAUCUCAUUUUUUUAACAAAUGGAUCCUCUAGUCAUUUUGACUUACAGCAAUCUUGCACACAUGUAUAUUAUAGGCCAUUUAUGAUUUAGAUCAUUUUAUUGUUUCUAUUUUUAUUUACCGCCAAUCAAUUGAUAUAUAUAUAAAUAAAAAAAAGGUAAGCCAAAGGUUAAAACAAGUAGAUGAUCUGUAUCCCAUUUUUUUUAAGACCAUAAUUCAAGACUUUGUGGGAGAGUGUGUGUUGUGAGUAUAAAUUUUUCUUCUUCUUUGAAGUUGAUGUUUUGGCGCGGACUGUAAUUAUGAUGCAUCGAGGUAAGUUUGGCAUACUUUUGAUAGACACAUUUCACGGGUUGACUAAGUUUCUUAGUAGGACUUAGUUACGAGUUAAUGUUAAUCACGUUUAUAAUAACAUCAAGAUAGGUCCGAUAUAUUUGUGAUGCACAUAUUUUCAGUUGUGCUCAUUUAUCAAGAUAAAUGUAUAUCAAUAGACUUUUGAAGCUUGAGGUUCACUCUCAACACAUGAUGGUGAGCGAUCUCAACAUAUUUAUGAUGCAUCUAUUAAUAUGUUUGUUAUGUCCUUAGUAAAAAUUAUCUAAAAUGGUUGUUAAUCUAUUUAACCUAGUCAUUCACACAAAUCAACUCAAAAAUCUUAUGUAUCGCCCAAAAGGAAAUAUAAUUUAAGAUGACUGUUCGUUUAAUCCCUAUAUUUUAAAUUAAAAGUUCAUUUAAUCCAUGUAUUAUAUCCUACUAUUAAAUAUGGUACACUCUUAACCUUGCUUUUUUCUUUACUUUUACAAUAAUACCUUUUCAACAAUAUUGUUGACAUAAUUUUUUUUAAUCUAUAACAAAAGUUAAUUACUAAAUUACCCAAUAAUUACUUAUUAGUAAAUUAAGAAAUAAAUAUCAGUAUGAAAUAACUUGUAUUUUAUAUCAGUGUGAAACAAAUGGUAUUUUUCUUACUCUUGCAACACUGUUACUAAUUAUUAUUUAUAAAUUAAUUAAUAUCGGCUAACUUAAAGCAAUGUUUAAUAUCCUUGCAACAAUCUUAUAUUUAAUUUUUUGUAAAAAAAUAAUUCACUAAAUUAAUCUUAAAAGAAAAAUAAUAGCAACUAAUUUAUUUUACUUUUAAGAAUAAUUUGAUAAAUUUACAUUUAUUAUUAUUAUCUCCAAGAAUAUUGUUGUAAGAAUAUUAUUACAAAAGUAAAGAAAAAAUAAGGGUAAGAUUGUAAUAUAAUUACUAGCAAGGGUGUCUUGAUGUAUUUCUUAAAUUAGAGGAUUUAAAUGGACACUUAACUCAAAAUAUAAUGAGUAAACAAAUAAUUACCCUGUAAUUUAACUAAAUAUGCAGAAAUCCAUAAUGAUUAAGUCAGAAUAUAAAUUCAAUACGACAAUUAGCCGAUGAAACGAACAAAAGUUUCAUCUAUCAUUAUUCAAACUCACUUCACAUUAAUUUUUUAUCUCAAAUUAUUGUGCUCAUCGUAAGAGUUAUUUGUAGUACUUUUGAUUUGGCCAUUGCUUUAUGCGUGAUAAAUCAAGGUUAAUGAUGCUGAUUCUUUAGCGAUUCUUCUUAGUGUUAUCAUUAUAUAAUUGACGAUCUCACUGAUUUGCAAUAUGAAUACGAAUAGUGACUGCACAAUAAGUUAAAAAGAGUUAAAAUUAUUUCCCAGAAAGAAUAAACUUCAAAUUAAUCUUUAAACUUCAAAGAAGUAGAGAGAGCACGAAUCUCUAACAGAAUAAAGAACCCUAGAAAAAGAAAAGAAAUUAAAAAAAAAAUCUUUUCUCUUGAUAGGCAUCGAUAUUGUGCUUGGAAUAGACAAAAUAAAAAUAUUUAAUUCCUACGUAAUUAGUCCUAAUUGAAGAUGUUUACACUUGAACGUAACAAAAAGAUUCUCUCUUAAAUCAUUGGAGAAACUUAUAUAUGCUAAUCAUCAAGAAUUAGAGGGCUAAAUAAACUUUGCCCAAUUGAAUAAUACUAAAUUAACCUAAUCACCUUGAUUUUCAUUGUCUAUGAAAUCGCAAUCAAGGUCUAAAACAUGCUUCAUAUUAUCAUAUUCAUGUUCUAUCUCUUCUUCCGUAUAAAAAUUGAUUAAAAUGAUACUCAACUCUUCUAAAUUAUACGAUAUUGUUUUCAAAAUAUUAAGACAAUACGCUCUCUUGUACUUGCUUUACGGGUGCUUAUAAGCCAUGUGGCCUAGAAUAUAUUCUUGUAAGGAUAAUGGCCUGAAAGAUAUAUGAAUUAUAUGACACCCAAAGUUUUAGCUAAUAACAUAGGUUAUAAUUAGUUGUUGUAGAGGAUAUCUUCAUUGAAAUUUCCACACGCCCAAUAAUUUGAUGACAACAGCAAAUCCCUUAAUUUUAUUCUCUCUCUAUAAACUGCUUUUGAGUUAUAUAACUCUUGAAAUUUUAUAUAUAUAUAUAUAUAUAUAUAUAUAUAGAGAGAGAGAGAGAGAGAGAGAGAAAUACAAGUGAAAAAUCAUAUCAACAUAGCUUAAAAGCUACAAUAGCUAGUGUUUACCAAACACUUUAGUGCUGUAGCUUUUAAGCUACAGCUGCCCAACCUCAAUCCCAAACGCACCCUAAAUUAAUUAGUCAUUCUUGUUUGAAUAAUUUUGGAGGAGGUAAGGGUUAAAAAAUUAAUUUUUAAAAAUAAGGAUAUAUACUUUCUAUCUCAAAUGAUUUUAUUGAUAACAAGAGUACUAAGAUUGACCAAAUACCCGUUUUGUCCCUAUAUUUAGAUUUAAUAGCCUGUUUAAUCUCUAGUUUUAAAAAUAACAGACACCCCAUGUUAAAUAUAUUAUGUUCUUACCCUUAAUUUUUCUUUCUUUUUACAAUAAUAACCUUGCAACAAUAAUCUUAGAAUAUUAAUGAAAAGAAAAAAAUGUUAAUUUAUUAAAUUAGCCUUAAAAUUAAAAUAAAAUUCAUGUAAACUUUUAAGUUUUAUUUUACUUUUAGGAUUAAUUUGGUAAAUUAAAUUUUUACAUACAAUUAUUAGUAAGUUUGUUGUAAGGAUAUUAAACUUUGAUUUAAGUUGGUUGCUAUUAAUUUAUUUACAAAUAAUUAUUAUCAAGAUUGUUGUAAAGGCACCAAAAAAAAGCUAGUUAUUUCAUACUGAUAUUUAUGAGUUAACUUGUUAAUUAACUUUUUAUAUAAAUAAAUUAAUUAAUGUCCAUAAUUUGUUUACUAGGGUAUUAUUAUAAAAGUAAAGAAAAAUAAAGGGAAGAAUGUAACAUAUUUAAUAACAGGGGUAUAUAAAUGUAUUUUUUAAAAUAUAAAGACUAAUAGAGCACUUAAGUCAAAAUAUAUGGAUUAAAUAAGAAUUUACCCUACUAAAAUUAUCACAUUAAUAAUUGAAGAUAAAGUCAACUAAUACCUAACACAUAAUAAUGAAUAAUUAGUAACAUAUCACGUGAGAUAGAAACUACGUAUCUCAAUUAUGUAAAUAUGAUAUGAUAUAUGCCAUAUAUAUGGGUCCAUUUUGUAAUUACAUUUCUCACAUAAUCUACAAUAUAUUUUCGUGUGAUAUAUGAUGUCGUACAUUUGAUAUUUGAAUCUAAAUCAACAUAUAUAUAUCUGAAACAUGUUAAGGUAAUUUAUUAUAUAACUUGAGACAAAAAAAAACUUUACUUUUUCGAGAUACAAAUUAAAGAGAACCUUAUGUAAAAGAGAAUUAAAGGUACAUGAGAAUAAACAUUUUCAAAACACACUACAAGAAUUAAGGCCUUUAGCAACAAGUUUUUUAGCAACAAAGUUGUCUUUGUUGCCUUAAGUGUGUUACAGCAACAUAAAAAAUAUUUUGUUGCCAAAUACUUAAGAAAUAAAUUAAUAUUUAAUUAACAUUUUUAGCGACAAAUAUUUCGUAGUUAAAGACAUACAUUAGCAACAAAUUAACUUUUUGUUGCAAAAAGUUUUAGCGUCAAACUAAAUAUUUUGGUGCUAAAACAUUUAGUGACAGAAUCCUCGUCGCCAAAUAGUUUUGUCACGAGAGAGUGACCAAUGGCGACAAAAUAUAAUUUGUUGCCAAAUCUAUGUAGUUAAAAUUCUGAAUUUAAAGAUUUAACUUCUUGACUUUUUGUGACAAAAUUUGAGUUUUGUUGCUAAAUGUGUAUUUAUAGCAACAAAUUCUAAUUUUGUCACUAAAAGUCAAAGAUUAAAGAUUUAAAUCAUUUUAUUUCCGCCAAAAUUUUUGAUUUUUUGAGACAAAAGAAAAAGUUUGACGCCAAUGUAUUUUUUUACCAACAAAUGUAGAAUUUUGUCGCUAAACAAAUUGAAAAUUUUUAAAGUAAAAGCGGGUGGUUUUCCGCCAAAACAAGUUUUAGCGACAAAAUUGAAAUUUUGUCGCUAAAAACUCCAUCUCUCUAUUUAUAUCUCAUACACUUUAUUUUUUUCACUUUUUUAUUCUUUCAUUCUCUAACUUUUAUUCUAAAUUCUCUCAUCUAUAAGUUUCUUUAACUUUCAUUUCCUCAUCUCUAAUGUAUAAUUCUCAUUCUUUCAUUCUGUAACUCAAUCUCUAUCUUCUUAUCUCUUCUAUUUCUCUUCAAUAUGGUGUAAUUUUUUAUUUUUUAUUUAUCUUUUUUUCAUUACAAUAUUACAUGAUUAUUACAUUUACAAGUUAACUAAUUAUUGUUUGUGUUUUUUUGAAGGAAAUAUUGAAGUUCAAUCACACCACGAGAUGAAGAAAAUCAAUAAAGUUAUAUUCAUUUGUAAUUAAAAAAAUAGAUAUUACAUCUUGUAAUAAUUUUUAUGUAUUUGUCAUCAAUAAUAAUAAUUCUUUUGAAUUAAUUAAUAAUUCUAAUAACAGUACUGGAAUGAUCUAAAAAGCUAUGUGCUAGCUGUCCCGACCAUUAGAUAAAUGAUAAACUCUUUAUUUAAUAUUUUUAUGAGGGUCUAAUACCUAUCAAAAGGAGCAUGAUUAAUGCUGCCAGCGGAGGAGCACUCUUGGAUAAGACACCGGAAGUAGCCAAGAAUCGCAUUGCCAACAUGGUUGCUAAUUCUGAACAGUUUAGCACCAGGAAAAAUCCACUACCACCACCUAAGUGAGUCAAUGAGGUAAAUACUUCUUCCCUAGAACAACAAGUUUCAAAUCUUACUUCUUUGGUGCAAUAGUUGUCCCUAGGACAGUAGGCAAGAAGGACGGGGAGAUUUUUUUACCCAAUUUCUUAUUCGGGGAGGGGACGGGGAUGAGGUGGAAUCCCCAUCCCCUACCCAUUUCCCCCUUUUAAUUUUUAAUUUUAUUUUUAUUCUGCUGUACGGCCAAGGCGGAUGUACGGUACAUAUUCUUGUUAAGUUCUUCGAACUUUUAGGUUAUGCUCCCCAACUCUUGUUUCCACCAUUUUUUUGUUUUAUAUUUCUACUAUUUUCAUUAAAUUUAAGUAUUUUUUGUGAAUGUUUCAAGUUUAUUUUUUGAUCCCUACUUAUUGUUGCUGCUGUACCGUACAUCCGCCUUGGCCGUACAGCAGUAUUUUAAUUUUAAUAUUUAUUAAAUAUUUACUUAAAUUUAUUUUUUAUUUAUCUUAAAUCUAUUUUUUAUUUAUCUUAAAUCUAUUUUUAUUUAUUUUUAGAUGUUAUAAUUGCCCACAGCAAAUCAUAAUUUUAAUAUCUAAUCUAAUCUAAUAUUUGCUCUUGAUUUGCUUCGACUUAACGAUUGUGCUGUAAAGGAAAUAGUCCAUAUUUAUAAAGUGCCCAUGCCAUCAUUGAAAAGUUAAUUUUGAAUCUAAAUUUGAUUUUAUUUGUAACAAUUUUGAAUUAGGCUAUUAAUUUGUUCAUGAUAGUUUGUAUCCCUUGCAUGCUGCAUUACUUACUAAUUUAAUGUAUGUGACUUUUGUAAUGGAUAUUAAUGUAAUAUAUAUUUCAAACUUUACUUUUAUUUAAAUUUUUAUUUUAAUAUGAUUAACUCAAAAUCGAAAAAAAAAUGUAUUAGUUAUUCGGGGAUCGGGGACCCUCGGGGAUCCCCUGUUAUUAUUCGGGGAGAGGAUGUGGAUUCUCUUAAAUAAUUUUGACGGGAAUGGGGAAGGGACGGGGACAUACGUAAAAUAUCGGGGAUGGGUCCUGGGAGAUUGGUCCUCUCCCCUCCCCUCCCCAUGACAGUGCUAGGCCGACGACCUUAACGACAAACGUAUUUUUGUUGCAACAAUCUAAGGCAAUAAAAUUUAUACUUUGAGCAACAAACCUUUAUUGUUGCAAAAGAUCAUUAUUGUUGUAGUGACACUAAUAGUGAUGUUUUAUAAGAGGGUUCCAAACUAUUUCUCAUGAAAUCAAACAUUCCCAAGUCCCAAAAUUUAAACAAUAAUUCAGCUAACAAUUUUCAGCUGCCAUCGAUGUAAAGGCAAAGCUUUUUAUCUUCUGGAUGUUUCUUUGGAUCUUGGUUUAGAUAGGAGACAGAUAAAGCGGAUGCCAGAGAGUAAUGAAGUUUGGGCUAAGUAUGAAACGUAGACAUUGAAAAACUAUAUAAUAUAAUGUAUUGCUUAGAAUCUCUAGAUACAUAGUAAACAAAUAUAUUUGUAUAGAAUAGCCUAGCUAGUUAUGCAUGCAUAUAUAAUACAUAACAAUAUUCUUUACGUAAUGGGUACUUUGCACUUUAAAUUUUUAAAUCAGGACAAAAAGGGGUGGGGAAAAGGAAGAAGAAGAAGAAGAAGAAGAAGACGACCAAAACAGAGGUGCUUUUGUUAUCUUGCAUAAAUAUAAAGAGCCCAAACAUAGUAGAAGUUGCGGGCGCAAAGUGGAGCAUGCCGCCCUAUGUGUUGGCUGCCUGAACAAUACCAAUUAAAGUAAUAAAAGUUUAUUAAAGGAACAUUAACGCCAUUAAUAAUUAACCCUAAUUAAAGCUAAUACUUAAUCAUCAAUUCGAAAGUGGAAUCAUUAUUUUAAGCCAAAAUACCAGUAAGUGGGGGGUAGAGAGCUGUGCUGUGUUAAAAAAAAAAGCUAACGUGCAUCAUCUGAACUCAGAAAGAGAUAACAAAGUGAUUCCAUGUUUCCAAAUUUAAUAUUUACUGAAUCAAUCCCCCGCAAUCAAAUCUAUUACUAUUACUCAUACGAACCACUAACAUUUGUCCACGUCAUUCCAAAGGCGCUAAAAGAAGUGCGUUCGGCUGACGUCGCAAGAUUUGAUUGGUUUAUAAAUUUUUAGUUCUUUAUGUUUGUACAUAUGACAGCUUUCGGAGUAGAUGGGAUAUCAUAUUCACCAAUCGGAAGCUUACAAGAAAGGAACUGUACCCAAUUCCUAUCCUGCUCCUCCGAUUGAUGCAAAUAUUUUUUUGAAGUGAUGGUGACCAAAGGGUGAAAAUGACAUCUAGGAUGCGUCAAGGGGCCCACCUCACAUGCCUCCACCAAUAACUUGCAUAAAAGAGAAAAAUGAGUUGGGACCCACAUGGAAAUGUAGGGGACCACAACUUUAUUGGUAUGGGUAACCACACAGCUAAUAGUCCAAUUCUAUCUAAUGCUCUCUUUCUCUAUCCCCCUUCUUUGUUGUGUCAUAAAGACCAGGGAUAUGAAAAUGUAAACAAAAGCAAUUGCACUCACUUCUGUUUUCCCACACCGUGGAAUUUGAAACAUCUCUUUUUUUUUUUUUUCUUUUUUGUGUAUAUCAGAAUCAUAUUAUAAUAAAUUAUUAAGUGUUGCGCAAAUUAAAUAAAAAAGGCUCUAUUAUAUUAUACUUAAUUAGCUGUAUUGCGUAUUAGGGGAAUUGUAAUACAAUACUAUGUUUUGUAUGGUAUAAAUAUCAAUGUUAAAAUUAGAUUGAUUUUAAUUAAAUAUAUUAAUAUUUUAGGGCUUUAUUAUUAUUAAUUCUUAAAAAUAAAUAUUAAAUAAGUAUUUUUAUAACAUAAAAAUGACUUAAUAAUAAUAUACUAUUAUCAAAUAACAAAAUUUAUUAUAAUUUUUAAAUAAUAAAAAAUAAAUAAUUAUAUUUAAAAUAUGAACUAUGUUUUAAUGCAACACACCCUAAACACUACCCGUAGUUUAUUUUAUAUAAUUUCCAUUGGAUUAACCACUUUUUUAUACAAUACUAUACAACCAUAAAUAUUUAAAAGUUAGGAUAAGAACAAUAUCUUAGUGCAAUGUAUGUAAUUUAGUAAUGCAAGCUGCCAAUUGGCAGCAGUCUAAUAAUAAGGCUCAAAAGGAGGGACCAUCUCAUCUCUCUGCUCUUUUCUUAGCUAGGGUCUAGGAACCGAACCAACAAGACUGAAAAUUAAACCACCUUAUACGAAAGCAGCCCGCCCACACACCUCCCAUGAGGAACUCAAUUAACCAUCUCCUAGUCGCUCGAUAACGCAGUUAUGAAGCUGAGUUAACAUGUGUAAAAUAAUCAUACGAUUAAUAAUUACGUGGCAUCUGUUUUGAAAAUCUUUAUUUUCCCAUUAUCAUAGUUAUAUCAAUUAUCAGGAAGAAAUUGUUGAAUACAAUUAUUUUUUUUCUUUUUGUAGAAUAUGGACCAUUAGAACUUUCAUUAAUACAUGCAUUUUGAGGCACGCGUCUAUAUAAUUAUUGAAAUAUUUUUCUUAAGGUGCGAUAUUUUUAUUUAAAGUAAUGAUAUAGUCACAAAUUUUUAUAUGAAUUUAUUUUAUAUAAACUGAUGUGGUACGAAAAAAUUAAUUAAAUUAAAUAUCACUUAACCUAUAUAAUUUAUUUUAUUAUUUUAUAUUUUCAUUCAUUCAAUUAAUUAAUACCAUAUUAAUUUAUAUCAGAUAAAUUUAUACAAAAAUUUUUGUCUCUAUCAUUUUUACCGAUACAUUUAUUAUAGAAACUGCAUAAAACAGAAGCUGCACCGCAUGUAAACACCACACUAUUAGAAGAUAUAUGUGGUAGAUCAACUGUGAUAUUUGGCAGAGGAUGGCAGGAUACAUUUAUAGAGGGUCCCAUCUUCCAUCACCGUACACGUGUUCAUAAAAAUCAACAGAGUACGAACGCACAAUCACAAAAAAAAAGCACGUCAGGUCGUCAGAAGAAAAAAGAAAGCCCCCAUGUGCAAUUCCUGCCUUGUUAUCAGUAUAUAGCGGUUUUCCCGCUUACUGCCAAAACCGUACAAUAAAAAAAUAAAAAAAUAAAAAAAUAAAAAUUACCAAAAAAAAAGAAAGACGAUUUGCUUUUUGGAGAAGCGAAAGCAACCAAUGGCGUACGUGGCUGUCUCUCAGUUGAUUGGCUUAUUGUAGGGCUCUUCUUUAUUUUUGAUUCUUUAUUUUAUUAUUAUUCGUUAAUUUUAUUUUCCCCUCUUUUUUGUUUUUUAAAGUAAUACAUAUAGUAUUGUAAUGUGUGCGAACUUUAAAUUAUAAAGUUAAGAGAUGUUAUGGUGCGGCAAAAAGCUAGGGGACUGUGCAGACACGUAUAUUUUGGGAUCCAAUCAUGUGGCGUGGCUUUUUAGGGAUCCCCUCCCCUUUAAUCAUCUUUUGUCUUUUCGAUUUGGCAUUUGAAUUUCUUUUGUUUUUCGGUUUAAAAGUUGUGAUAUUGAAUAUGAUCUUAACUCGAGAUCUGUCUUACAUCCACUUUCAUUACAUUUUGCUAUGCGGAAAUGGAAUGGCCUUUCAAAUCCACCAUAUGUUUAAAGUGAAAACAUUUUAGACUGAUUGACAGCGAUAGGAAUACAUACUAUGAUUAAAAAAAAUUAGUACUUUUUGAUACCAUAAUUUCGGAUAUCCAAAAGACUAAUAUAAUCAUGGAAAUUUAGAUUACAUAAAUUUAAUGAAGGAAAUUAACUUGAUUUGUUUGAUAAUAAUUAAUUUAAACGUUUUAAGUUAGUAGAUGAAUGAUUUUUCAAUUAAAGAAAGAGUUAGCUGAUAGAUAUUUGUCUGGUGGAUGGAUAAGACUAAUAGUUUGAGAGCGUGUACUGAUUAGUUUAAUUUAGUAAAUUUCUUGGAAAGAUACAAAAAAAUAUUAGAUUUGAAUUCACCUAAGGUGAAAAAAUGUAUAAUAUCUUGAAUAUUUCACUCAACUAAUUCAUCUUAAGUAAAAGGAGGCUGAAGCCAAAGUAUAGCUUCAGCAAUAAGAAGCAAGCUUACUAGAAAUUAUAUCAUACUUUGAGAUUCAAUAAGUGCGUGAGUUAAUAAUAUAAAAAGAAAAAUUGUAAUUAAAAUAACGAAAUUAAACUUGGAGUGUAGAUGACAAAGAGAUUUUGCCAAACAAAACAUUUCUUUUCACGGAAAGCAAAUGUUUUGUCACUUUUGAUGCCUUUCGAAAAUCAAAUCCAUUUCCUAUAACUUUUUCGGAAUUAGGUCCUUUGAUUUUCAAAGUUUCUAUUUAUUCAUUUUUAACGUUUGCUAGUUAAAAUAUAUACAAUAAUAACUUAAAUUAGACCAUAAGAGAUAAUACAGAAGACUUUGUCCCCACCUCCCGCCCCUUUCCCCCUUAUGACGCACUCAGCCUUGAAAAUGAAUUAUAUGUAAAUCCUGUUUUGUUAAUUGCGAUAAUGCCAUGCUAAGGCAUUAAUUGUGAUAACAUCACGAUAGUGGAAUUUCUAACAGUCGAAAUUAUAACUUUCUAGUAUUGAUCAAUAUCGCAAGAACUCAAGGGAGACUGCUGACUUCACAGUUCACAUGUCGAGCCAAGAAACAAGUAAGAUGUGUAGAUGGACAGGACUUCUUUAGUGUUUCAGUAUUUACAUGAUAAGUUAGAAAAAUUUUAACAAUUUUUCCUUUUAUUCUUGACUAACAUUGGUCAGAGAUCUGACGGACGCGAGACUCUCCAAGUGUCCCAUGUCUAGUGAUCUAGAUUCUAGUCUCACAUUUUUCACUAUUAUUUUCUUUUUACACAUAUACUAAACUUUCAUUCAAGCAAGUCUACUUGUAUGAUGUAACACAUAGUACAACAUCCACAUCUAGUAUACAACUUAUACGAUCUUGUUCGACAUCUAUUACAAUUACACAAUUGCUUAAAAUCAUUGUCCUCACCUCUCACCAUCUGCUGCUUACCAGUAUCACUAUCUUUUUUUUUCUUUUUUUUUCUUUUUAUUUUACAACCGUAGGAUUUCUGUCCAAUAACAGAUCUGUUAGUAAUAGAAUUUAUAACUUAGCUGCGCCCCUAAAUGAAAUAUGCUAAAAGACAACAAUGUCAUAGCAUACAAAAGCACAAUAAAUUCAAUGGACACACCAAAUCAAGAUCAGAUGUGACGAUUGUUAUCCUUAUACAUAUAGUGGGGGGGAGGGGGAGGGGAGGAAGAAAAUCUAAAACUACAAAAAUAAAAGAAUUACGGGGCGAAACAAAGGGUUGGUUGCGGUAAUUGAAGCAAAGAGGAGGCAAGAAAUGGGGGAUAGUCGGAUAGACCGAUAGAGAUGUUUUUUAACCAACAUUUGACAAAAUGGUUGCUAUUUACAUGUUUAUGUGGUUACUAUAUUACCCUUAAACAUUAAGUUAAUUAUGUUUUAAUUUGUGCAAAGUUGACCUUGAAUUAUAUUUGAGUGGAUGAAACUAUCCGUCUACUUUAUUUUUUAUUUUUUAAAUAUUACAUCUAAUUCAACUAAGUGUCUGUUUGGUAUGACUUAUUUAAUGGUUAUAAGUGCUUAUUUAAUUCAAUAAGCUCUUAUAAUAAUUUUUGUUGUUGUUUGGUUGUUUUUCUAAUAGAAUUUUUGAAACUUAAAUAAGCUAUUUUACCUCUAUUAGUAAAAGCUUAAAUUUUGGGCUUUUGAGAGUAGAGGUUAAAAAACUUUUUUUAAAUGUCAAAAUAUAUAAAAUAUCUUUUACUUAUUUGACAAUCUUAUGUAUAUUUUAUAAUAUGACUUUAAAAAACUUGCCUAUUAAAGUAAUUUCAUAAAUUUUUAAUAAAAAUUCUUAUUGACAUCAAACAACGAAUUUUUUUUAGUAAAAGCUGUACUAACAAAACUCUUCUUAAAUAAUAUCUACUUAAAAAAUUGUACGAAACGAAGCCUAAAUCUCAAUAUAUUACACAUGUAUAAUCAAACCUUUUUAAGUGUAUGUAAUUGAAGCCCACUAAAGUUUUGCAUAAGAAAUCACUCUCACAGGUACUGGGGGGACUCAAAAAGAGGUGCUGACUAACCAAACCAAGGGUCAUGGCAUUUAGAGUUAAAAAAAUAAACAAAAUAAAUUGUUUUAUUUAUAUAUUUUACUUAAUUAUUUUAUUUUUAAAAUAAAUUGGUUUAUUAACAUCACUUAAUUUAGUAAAAAUAUUAUGUUGAAUUAAAAUAAAUUAAAAGAUACAAAACCAAAACUAACCAUCGCCAGCCGGAGGACUUGACCCUGACAGGUAGCUUGCAUUGCCAUCCUGACAACUUGACCUUGAUCAGUAGCUAGCAUUUAAUGUACUUGAUUUUUUUUUCUGAGAACUUUUACUUUAUUAUUAUAAUUAAAGAACUUGUUAAGCUACAUGAUCAUAUAACUCACGAGCUAUCUAUCACUAUAAUCAUGCCAGAUGCUGCACAUUAUAAUAAAUAUUUUAUACCAUAAUUUAAUGCAUAUUAUAGCACAUUAUUGUUUUUAUAAAGUUAUUUUGCUUUAAUUCAAUUAAUGUCAAAAGAGGGAUAAAGUUUAUGAAAACUUUUAAGUUUUAACCGAGGUUGCCAAGCACCGGAAAUGGCACAACCAACUGCGGACAGCCCUGCAAGCAGCAGCAGCAAAUUGCAAGCAAACUUCCAAAUUUGACCUAGUUAUCAAUUUCGCUACCAUGUACGAUCCUUAACAUUAAAACAAUAGCACUCAAUUUCAAGGCGAGUUAUCAAAAUUAACCGGAUAAUACCAUCAUGUUAAUAACAAAAAAUUUCAAGGAAAAUCAAGAGAAAAAUAAUCCUUGAAAAGAUUCUGCAUUUUAAUCAAGUACCCAAUAAUUUAUUUAUGGAAACAUCGAAAGCCGCCUUCAAAAUAGUUGCUGGUUUAGCUUCUGUGAGUUUUCAAAUAGCUGGGCAAGUUGCAAGAUUAGGAAAACAAGUAGUUGCUAAAUUUAGCAAAUAGUAAAAUAGCCGGCAUUCAUGGCAGCAGAAAAAGAUUAUUGAUUUCUCCAUUACAGGAUUUCUUUUUCAUUAAAAAAAAAAAAAAAAACCUCUAGGGUUUGAAAAUAUUUCUUCAUUUUCUUUUUUACACGAAAGGAGCCUUGCAAUUACGACCUAAUCAUUCCCGCACGGCUCAGUGAAAAUCUAAACCCCCCCUUACCCAUUGCGUCACCUUUCACCCAAGCCCACGUGAACUCUCUCUGCCCUUCUUUGGUCCGCACGUGCAUUUGAUCCUUUUUACUGCUUUAAACCCCCCAUCGGUUUUCACUCAUCAUCUUCUCUCUUCUUCAUCGACUGAUCAAUUUUCCAGAGUUCGCAGAGUGAAAUUUUUUAGUUACAUUACUGAAAUUUUUUUUAGCCCAUUAAUUCCUUCCCCAUAUAAACACCCACGUGUCUUGUUCUUAUUUAAUCAUUGAUCUAGCUAGGUCCACUGAUCAGAACAAUACCAUGGAAGAGAAGGAGGCUGCUCAUCAGAGAAGAAAUUGCAGGUCUCAUCACCAAAGAAAUUGUGCUCUUCCAUCUUGACAAACUGAGCCUGGUACGUUGGUUUUGAGAAUUCGAAGCAGUUAAUCGAAAGUUGAUGAGGCUGGCUCUGAAUGAUAACACCAUCAGAUGAAGAAAUGGCAGCGUUAGGGCUGUGGCUGUUGUUGCUGUUGUGGAAGUUGUUGUUAUCUUCGUUGUUCAAGAUGGCACUCGAAUCGCUAUCUGAUGACCCGUCCUUCAAAUCUGGAAAGAGCGAGAUUCCCAACACUCCAUUAUCAUAGUUCAGUUCUUGAUCAGGUUCAUCAGAAAUGUUACCGGCAGCAGCUAGAGAAAUUGCGGUAGCGUUAGUAGGAGGAGCUACAGCGGCGGCUUGUUUAUCAUCGCUUUCUUGAUUGCGAUCGAGAGUGGCUUUGUUUUGAUGAUCAGUCUCAUGCACAAUUGUCUCUUCUUGUUUCACAGAAAUAUUGCUCUCCGUGUUCUCUUCAUUCAGCUUUGAUUUCAGCUCUCUUAUCUGUGUGGAAUAACAGCAACAUACAUGUGAAAACAUGUUAUCUUAUUCUUAAUCAUUGUAGUUAUGUAAAUAUACAUAUGUUUAUAUUUAUAUGGUUUCAUGAAAGCACUUUUGUCAUAUUCUUCUUUCUUUAAUUAUUUAUAUAUAGAUGGGGGGGGGGAAGAGAGAAUUAAACUAUUGUUACCUCUUUAAGCAAGGCUUCAUUGUCGUGUUGGAGGGAGUCAUAAUUGAGCUUGAGAGCAUCAUAAUUUGCCUUAAGAACGCCGUAAUCUCUUUCAAGUUGCUUGGUUUUCCAACGAGCGCGUCGGUUUUGGAACCAAACAGCAACUUGUCUUGGCUGCAGCCCAAGUUCUUGUGCCAACUUCACUUUUCUCUCGGGCUCAAGCUUGUUUUCCACCUCGAAGUUCUUCUCCAAGGCCUUCACCUGAUCCACGCUCAGUCUCCUCUUUUUCUCCGAGACGUGCCCUCCGGAUUCUUCUAAACACCCCUCUUCAUCCAGACCGUCCAACAUCGUCUGGAAUUCUCGACUGUAAACUUGGUUGUUUCUCGGACUCUGCUCGUCUGAUUGAUAAUAAAUCACAAAAAAACAAUUAUUUAUUUUUAAUUAGUAAGGAAAAGAUUUGAUAAUUGCGAAAAUAUUUUGAAAUUAACAUGGCUGGUAUUCUUAAUUAACAGCAACCUGUGGCUGGGCAGAUGGACAUCAAAGCACCCAAGGAAUCAUCUGAGCUGCAAAGUGAUCGCUUCAUGCCUGAUGAUGAAGUGAAGCCGACUGUAGUAAGCAGAUCUAUUUUCUUAGAUCGGAAAUUUUUUUGAUUUUUUAUUUUUUUAAGUGGAUCUCUCAAGUUUUAAGAAGUAGCUUUAAGAGGAGUUUCUUCUUUAGGACUUGAAAGAGCAGCUGCCGUGUCUGAAAAUAGAGCGCUGUUCUGUAUAAUAAUACUACAAUUGUACAACAACUCCUCUUCUCUCUUUAGUUCAACGUAUUUCUUCUCCCUAUUUAACACUUGUUGCCCCUCUGAACCCAUAAAAAUGAAUUUAAACGAAAACAGGAAAAAAAAAAAAAAGAAAGAAAAAUACUAAUUACACACAAAGAAAGAAAAAUACUAAUUACACACAAAAAAAAAAAAAAAAGAAAGAAAAAUACUAAUUACACACAAAAGACUCAAACCCAACAAUCUAAAACUUUCACUGUAAUUAAAACCCAACCCACAAGAGAAGUAAUCAAAGAAAGAAACUCUCUCACUCCACUCUUUCUUUUCUCUUUACAUCACUUAACUCAACAAAAAAUUUAAGAGAGCUGAGUAGUAUUGAAUGAGCACAAUAGUCUCGGACUGCUCAUCUACAAAUGAAAUUAUUUGGACUAAAGAGAGAGGAAUUGGGAGAUCAAUGAACCAGUUAAGAAAUUACAACACAGCUGGCCACGGCCUUGCCCGUGGUCUCUCUUUAAAUAAACCAACUUGGGUCAGGGUUUGGGUUAGAAUCUGAC
Molecule: long non-coding RNA, 47793 nt
Filed under: Citrus sinensis (sweet orange)
Lineage: Eukaryota; Viridiplantae; Streptophyta; Magnoliopsida; Sapindales; Rutaceae
Description: long non-coding RNA (CSIN_LNC000380)
Source: RNAcentral